UUUUUUUUUGUGAAAUUUGAGAAGAGAAGAGUCAAAACUCUAUGUCAGGAUGCCUCACCAGGGCGACGAAGGGACUGAGGAGUAAAAAGAAGUCCUACUCUCCGAUAUAUAUAAUCCUAAGUGACUCAAAACAUUUUUCUAGACUCAACAACGCCAGCGAUUCGAUCAAGCAGGGGGCUCCUAAGGUCGGGGAAGGCUCUGAUUACCAACUUGUAACGCCCUCGAUGUGUCUAUAUCUCCCACGUGUUGAAGCACGAUUUAGCGGCAUAACCGCAUUGAAAGCAAUGUCGCAAGUGAGGUAAUAUUCACAACAACCCAUGUAAUAAAUAAGGGGAAAGAUACAUAGUUGGCUUACACUCGCCACGUCACACAAAUAGCAUAAAUAACAUUACAUUCAUCCAAAUACACUCAAGGUCCGACUACGGAACCAAAAUGAAGAUAAACCCCAAAUGCAACAUAGUCCCCGAUCGCCCCAACUGGGCACCACUACUGAUCAUCUGGGAAAGACACGUAGUAUCGUCCUGAGUCCUCAUCAAACUCCCACUUGAGCUUAGUUGAAUCUCCUGGAAUGGUAUCAUCGGUCCCUGCAUCUGGUUUUGGAAGGAAUCUGUGAGUCACGGGGACUCAGCAAUCUCACACCCUCGCGAUCAAGACUAUUUAAGCUUAUAGGAAGGGUAAAAGGUAUGAUGUGGAGCUGCAGCAAGCGACUAGCAUAUAUGGUGGCUAACAUACGCAAAUGAGAGCGACAAGAGAAGGCAAAAGCAUGGUCGAUGAACUAUGAUCAAGAAGUGAUCCUAGAACAACCUACGUUCAAGCAUAACACGAGACCGUGUUCUCUUCCCGGACUCCGCCGAAAAGAGACCAUCACGGUUACACACGCGGUUGAUGCAUUUUAAUUAAGUUAAGUUUCAGGUUUUCUACAACUGGACAUUAACAAAUUCCCAUCUGCCCAUAACCGCGGGCACGGCUUUCGAAAGAUCAAAUCCCUGUAGGGGAGUCCCAACUUAGCCCAUCACAAGCUCUCACGGUCAACGAAGGAUAUUCCUUCUCCCAAGACAAUCCGAUCAGACUCAGCAUCCCAGUUACAAGACAUCUCGACAAUGGUAAAACAAGUCCAGCAACACCGCCCGAAUGUGCCGACAAAUUCCGAUAGGAGCUACACAUAUCUCGUUCUCAUAGCACACUCAGAUGAGACAUCCUACGAGUAAAACCAACCCUCAAGUUGCCCCGAGGUGGCCCCGCAGUCUACUCGGUCAAACCAACACUCAGAGGAGCACUGGCCCAGGGGGUUUAAAUAAAGAUGACCCUCGGGCUCCGAAAACCCAAGGGAAAAAGAGGCUAGGUGGCAAAUGGUAAAACCAAUGUUGAGCAUUGCUGGAGGAGUUUUAUUCAAGGCGAACUGUCAAGGGGUUCCCGUUAUAACCCAACCGUGUAAGGAACACAAAAUCAAGGAACAUAACACCGGUAUGACGGAAACUAGGGCGGCAAGAGUGGAACAAAACACUAGGCAUAAGGCCGAGCCUUCCACCCUUUACCAAGUAUAUAGGUGCAUUAAUAUAAACAAUAUAAUAUAAUGAUAUCCCAACAAUAAACAUGUUCCAACAAGGAACAAACUCCAAUCUUCACCUACAACUAGCAACGCUAUAAGAGGGGCUGAGCAAGGCGGUAACAUAGCCAAACAAUGGUUUGCUAGGACAUGGGGGGGUAGAGGUUUGACAUGGCAAUAUGGGAGGCAUGAUAAGCAAGUGGUAGGUAUUGUAGCAUAGGCAUAGCAAAAGAGCGAGCAUCUAGCAAGCAAAGAUAGAAGUAAUUUCGAGGGUAUGGUCAUCUUGCCUGCAAAGUUCUCUGAGUUGACUUGAUCCUCGUGAGCGUACUCAAUGGGCUCCUCGAUCACGUACUCGUCUCCCGUCUCUACCCAAAGCAAGAACAAUAAGCAAAAGGAACACAAUCAACCACGUGCAAUGCACAAACAACAAGAUGCAAAACAUGUCAUGAUAUGCGGGAUGCGGUAUGCGAUGCAUAUGCAUGAUUCGGAAAGGAAUGAUUGACCCUGGCCUCAACUUGGAAAACCAAGAGUGCCACUGGAAAGGUGAUUUGAUUUCGGUCGAAAUCGAUAUAAAGAUCACCGGAAUCGGAUGCACGGUUUGGAAAUGACAAGCAAAACAAAUAUGGCACCGGUCUGCGAUUAACAACACGAGACGAUCUAAAUGCAUCAAGAACAACAUGCUACAGCACUCCAACAUGGCAAAAAAUUUACAUGGCAGGGAUCCACUCAAGAUGCUUGACAAAAGAUGAACACUGAGCUACGGCUAAUUCACUCAUUAGUAGGUUCAAACAAGCAUGGCAAAAGUGCAAAAGAUAACAGGUUACAGACUUAGCGGAAUAAUCAAUAAGUCAGGAAUUUAACAUCAGGAAGCAAAGUUUAGAGCACGAUAACUACAUGCUACAGGAACAAAUCAUGGCAAAGCAAAGCAUGGCAUGAAGCUACUCAAAGCAUACAACAAAAGUCCCUUACUGACCAUAAGCCAAAAGGGAUCAGAAAAUACAAUUGCAACCACGUGAACAUAGCAAUUAUCGUUAACAGAUUCAGACUUGGUGAAAAACUGGAGCAUGGCAAAAUAGAUAUCAAGUAGGCAUGUUUACGGGCUCGAUGCACUCACUACAAGGCAUUGCAUGAUAGACUAAGCAUACACCCAGCAAGUAGACAUGGCAUAGAAGCUAAAUAUGGCAAGAACAACAACAUAGCAUGUAUGGAUCAAUUACAACAAGCUCGGCAAAAUUGCUAAACAUGUUAACAAUCUGCUAGGAACAUUUUAUAGCAAAAGUAGAGCUCGAUUGACUCAAGCUAGGGUGCUCCAUAAAUGCAAACAAAGCCAUGAAUGGAUAGAGCACCACAAUAUCUACAAAACAUCCUUACUAAUCAUGCUCAAAAGAUGCACGGAUCACUAGGUAUCAACAUGAACGCAUGGCAUAAAAAUAAGGACAGGGCAGAGACUUAGAAUAUUUCUAAGUCCCUGAAAUCGGCAACAUUAAGUAAGCUACUUUGCAUGCUUGUGCUAGUCACCACAGAGAUCACAAAAAUACAUGGCAUACACCCCUGUAAAGAUGGCAUGACAUACUUCAAAACACAUGUAGAGCUCAGGAUCAUAGCAUGCACACAUUAAUCAUGGCAAAAAUGACAAAAGAGCAAAAGCUGAUAACAGAUCAGAAACUAACAUCACAUAGCCCUCUUCCAACAGCAUUUAGGGCAUCAAGAUGAGCUCAAAUGAAAAUGAUGCAAUGAGAUGAAAUUAGGUAAUCGACGAGACAAACAUUUUGAUAUGCUACACGCACGAACCGGAGCAAAGGUGAUGAAGUUAUGAUGCGUCAAAGAAAGCAAAAAUAAUUAGGGUUUCAGGAAAAAAAGUCAACCCUCGAAUCUCAGAUCUGGAUCCGGUUGCACUGUAGCAGCUCGAGGUCGCCGGAGAAAAUGGAGCUGCGGUGGCCGGACUUGUCGUUCAAGGAGCAGGAAGGAGACGGAGCCGGAUCCGGGGUGUGGCUCGCCGGAGUUGGACUUGGCGCGGUGGAGGAGCUCGCCGGGACUCCGGGCGGCGAGGUCAGGCGCGGUGAGGAGGAGCAAGGCGGCGGGCGGUGGUUGUCGCUNNNNNNNNNNNNNNNNNNNNNNNNNNNNNNNNNNNNNNNNNNNNNNNNNNNNNNNNNNNNNNNNNNNNNNNNNNNNNNNNNNNNNNNNNNNNNNNNNNNNNNNNNNNNNNNNNNNNNNNNNNNNNNNNNNNNNNNNNNNNNNNNNNNNNNNNNNNNNNNNNNNNNNNNNNNNNNNNNNNNNNNNNNNNNNNNNNNNNNNNNNNNNNNNNNNNNNNNNNNNNNNNNNNNNNGGGGCCGGUUGCGGGCUCCCGCGGGGCGCAGCGGCGGCGGGCGCCGGUUGCCACGUGGCGCGAGCGGAUAGGGCACGGGCGGUGGCGGCGUCUUGUCCAGCCGGAUUCGGACAUUGUCCGGCGCAGAGAUGGGCGAGGCUAGGGUUUCGCCCGGAUUUGGAAAUGGGGGGUCUAUUUAUAGAGGUAGAGGGAGCUAGGAAGCUCCAAUUGAGGUGUGGUUUGCGGCCACGCAAUCGUGAUCAAACGACCUAGGUGAUGGGAGAGGUUUAGGUGGGUUUUGGGCCACUUUGGAGGAGUGUUGGGCUGCAACACACACGAGGCCUUUUUGGUCCCUCGGUUAACCGUUGAAGUAUCAAACGAAGUCCAAAUGGCAUGAAACUUGACAGGCGGUCUACUGUAGUAAACCAAGGCCGCAUGACAAGUCUCGGUCCAAUCCGAAAACGUUUAACACCCGCACACAAAAAGAGGUAGAAAGGGAUACCGGAGGACAUAGGAGCGCCGGAAUGCAAAACGGACAACGGGGAAAAAUGCUCGGAUGCAUGAGACGAACACAUAUGCAAAUGCAAUGCACAUGAAGACAUGAUAUGAGAUGCAUGACAAAGACAAAACGACACGAAGGCAAAAACCCGACAACGAGGAAAUAAAAUAACUUAGUGCCAAAAAUGGCAAGAGUUGGAAUACAGAUAAGGCAAGUUACAUCCGGGGUGUUAUAGUUCAUGGGCCAUCGCCCCGGGAACUCCUGCAUGUUGCUGAAGGAAAUAUGCCCUAGAGGCAAUAAUAAAGUUAUUAUUUAUUUCCUUAUAUCAUGAUAAAUGUUUAGUAUUCAUGCUAGAAUUGUAUUAACCGGAAACAUAAUACAUGUGUGAAUACAUAGACAAACAGAGUGUCACUAGUAUGCCUCUACUUGAGCUCAUUAAUCAAAGAUGGUUAUGUUUCCUAACCAUGGACAAAGAGUUGUUAUUUGAUUAACGGGAUCACAUCAUUAGGUGAAUGAUCUGAUUGACAUGACCCAUUCCAUUAGCUUAGCACCCGAUCGUUUAGUAUGUUGCUAUUGCUUUCUUCAUGACUUAUACAUGUUCCUAUGACUAUGAGAUUAUGCAACUCCCGUUUGCCGGAGGAACACUUUGUGUGCUACCAAAUGUCACAACGUAACUGGGUGAUUAUAAAGGUGCUCUACAGGUGUCUCCAAAGGUACAUGUUGGGUUAGCGUAUUUCGAGAUUAGGAUUUGUCACUCCGAUUGUCGGAGAGGUAUCUCUGGGCCCUCUCGGUAAUGCACAUCACAUAAGCCUUGCAAGCAUUGCAACUAAUGAGUUAGUUGUGAGAUGAUGUAUUACGGAACAAGUAAAGAGACUUGCCGGUAACGAGAUUAAACUAGGUAUUGAGAUACCGACGAUCAAAUCUCGGGCAAGUAACAUACCGAUGACAAAGGGAACAACGUAUGUUGUUAUGCGGUCUAAUCAAUAAAGAUCUUCGUAGAAUAUGUAGGAGCCAAUAUGAGCAUCCAGGUUCCGCUAUUGUUUAUUGACCGGAGACAUGUCUCGGUCAUGUCUACAUUGUUCUCGAACCGUAGGGUCCGCACGCUUAAGGUUUCGAUGACAGUUAUAUUAUGAGUUUAUGAGUUUUGAUGUACCGAAGGAGUUCGGAGUCCCGAAUGAGAUCGGGGACAUGAUGAGGAGUCUCGAAAUGGUCGAGACAUAAAGAUCGAUAUAUUGGACGACUAUAUUCGGACAUCGGAAAGGUUCCGAGUGAUUCGGGUAUUUUUCGGAGUACCGGAGAGUUACGGGAAUUCGCCGGGGAGUAUGUGGACCUUAUUGCGCCAUACGGGAAUAGAGGAGAGAGGCCAAAAGGAAGGAGGCCUGCGCCCCCCCCCCACUGGUCUGAAUUGGACAAGGGGCGCAGCCCCCUUUUCCUUCUUCCUCUCCCCCUCUUUCCCCUUCUCCUACUCCAACAAGGAAGGAAGGAGUCCUACUCCCGGUGUGAGUAGGACUCCCCUUGGCGCGCUCCCUCCUAGGCCGGCCGCCCCUCCCCCUUACUCCUUUAUAUACGGGGGCAGGGGGCACCUCUAAACACACAAGUUGAUCUUCGUGAUCGUUCUUUAGCCAUGUGCGGUGCCCCCCUCCACCAUAUUCCACCUCGGUCAUAUUGUAGCGGUGCUUAGGCGAAGCCCUGCGACGGUUGAACAUCAAGAUCGUCACCACGCCGUCGUGCUGACAGAACUCCUCCCCGAAGCUUUGCUGGAUCGGAGCCCGGGGUGCAUCAUCGAGCUGAACGUGUGCCAAGAACUCGGAGGUGCCGGAGUAACGGUGCUUGAAUCGGUUGGACCGUGAAGACAUACGACUACAUCAACCACGUUGUACUAACGCUUCCGUUGUCGAUCUACAAGGGUACGUGGAUCACACUCUCCCCUCUCGUUGCUAUGCAUCACCAUGAUCUUGCGUGUGCAUAGGAAUUUUUUUGAAAUUACUACGUUACCCAACAGUGGCAUCCGAGCCUAGGUUUUAUAUGUUGAUGUUAUAUGCACGAAUAGAACACAAGUGAGUUGUGGGCGAUAUAAGUCAUACUGCUUACCAGCAUGUCAUUCUUUGGUUCAGCGGUAUUGUUGGACGAAGCGGCCCGGACCGACAUUACGCGUACGCUUACGCGAGACCGGUUCUCCCGACGUGCUUUGCACAAAGGUGGCUAGCGGGUGAUAGUUUCUCCAACUUUAGUUGAACCGAGUGUGGCUACGCCCGGUCCUUGCAAAGGUUAAAACAGCACCAACUUGACAAACUAUCGUUGUGGUUUUGAUGCAUAGGUAAGAUUGGUUCUUGCUUAAGCCCGUAGCAGCCACGUAAAACUUGCAACAACAAAGUAGAGGACGUCUAACUUGUUUUUGCAGGGCAUGUUGUGAUGUGAUAUGGUCAAGACAUGAUGCUAAAUUUUAUUGUAUGAGAUGAUCAUGUUUUGUAACUAAGUUAUCGGCAACUGGCAGGAGCCAUAUGGUUGUCGCUUUAUUGUAUGCAAUGCAAUCGCGCUGUAAUGUUUUACUUUAUCACUAAGCGGUAGCGAUAGUCGUGGAGGCAUAAGAUUGGUGAGACGACAACGAUGCUACGAUGGAGAUCAAGGUGUCGCGCCGGUGACGAUGGUGAUCAUGACGGUGCUUCGAAGAUGGAGAUCACAAGCACAAGAUGAUGGUGGCCAUAUCAUAUCACUUAUAUUGAUUGCAUGUGAUGUUUAUCUUUUAUGCAUCUUAUCUUGCUUUGAUUGAUGGUAGCAUUAUAAGAUGUCUCUCACUAAUUAUCAAGAAGUGUUCCCCCUGAGUAUGCACCGUUGCGAAAGUUCUUCAUGCUGAGACACCACGUGAUGAUCGGGUGUGAUAGGCUCUACGUUCAAAUACAACGGGUGCAAAACAGUUGCACACGCAGAAUACUCAGGUUAUACUUGACGAGCCAAGCAUAUACAGAUAUGGCCUCGGAACACGGAGACCGAAAGGUCGAGCGUGAAUCAUAUAGCAGAUAUGAUCAACAUAAUGAUGUUCACCAAUGAAACUACUCCAUCUCACAUGAUGAUCGGACAUGGUUUAGUUGAUUUGGAUCACGUAAUCACUUAGAGGAUUAGAGGGAUGUCUAUAUAAGUGGGAGUUCUUAAGUAAUAUGAUUAAUUGAACUUAAAUUUAUCAUGAAACUUAGUCCUGGUAGUAUUUUGCAAAUUAUGUUGUAGAUCAAUAGCUCGCGUUGUUGCUUCCCUGUGUUUAUUUUGAUAUGUUCCUAGAGAAAAUUGUGUUGAAAGAUGUUAGUAGCAAUGAUGUGGAUUGGAUCCGUGAUCUGAGGUUUAUCCUCAUUGCUGCACAGAAGAAUUAUGUCCUUGAUGCACCGCUAGGUGAUGGACCUAUUGCAGGAGCAGAUGUAGACAUUAUGAACGUUUGGCUAGCUCAAUAUGAUGACUACUUGAUAGUUUAGUGCACCAUGCUUAAUGGCUUAGAAUCGGGACUUCAAAGACGUUUUGAACGUCAUGGAGCAUAUGAGAUGUUCCAGGAGUUGAAGUUAAUAUUUCAAGCAAAUACCCGAGUUGAGAGAUAUGAAGUCUCCAACAAGUUCUAUAGCUAAAAGAUGGAGGCGAAUCGCUCAACUAGUGAGCAUGUGCUCAGAUUGUCUGAGUACUACAAUCGCUUGAAUCAAGUGGGAGUUAAUCUUCCAGAUAAGAUAGUGAUUGACAGAAUUCUCUAGUCACCAUCACCAAGUUAGUAGAACUUCUUGAUGAACUAUGAUAUGCAAGGGAUAACGGAAACGAUUCCCAAGCUCUUCAUAAUGCGGAAAUUAACGAAGGUAGAAAUCGAGGAAAACAUCAAGUGUUGAUGGUAGACAAGACCACUAGUUUCAAGAAAAGGGCAGAGGGAAGAAGGGGAACUUCAAGAAGAACAACAAGCAAGUUGCUGCUCAAGUGAAGAAGCCCAAGUCUGGUCCUAAGCCUGAGACUAAGUGCUUCUACUGCAAAGGGACUGGUCACUGGAAGCGGAACUACCCCAAGUGAUUGGCGGAUAAGAAGGAUGGCAAAGUGAACAUAAGUAUAUUUGAUAUACAUGUUAUUGAUGUGUACUUUACUAGUGUUUAUAGCAACCCCUCAGUAUUUGAUAAUAGUUCAGUUGCUAAGAUUAGUAACUCGAAACGGGAGUUGCAGAAUAAACAGAGACUAGUUAAGGGUGAAGUGACGAUGUGUGUUGGAAGUGGUUCCAAGAUUGAUAUGAUCAUCAUCGCAGACUUCCUGUACUUUCGAGAUUAGUGUUGAACCCAAAUAAGUGUUAUUUGGUGUUUGCGUUGAGCAUGAAUAUGAUUUGGUCAUGUUUAUUGCAAUACGGUUAUUCAUUUAAGUUAGAGAAUAAUUGUUGUUCUAUUUGCAUGAAUAAAACUUUCUAUGGCCAUACACACCAACGAAAAUGGUUUGUUGGAUCUCGAUUGUAGUGAUACACAUAUUCAUAAUAUUGAAGCCAAAAGAUGCAAAGUUAAUAAUGAUAGUGCAACUUAUUUGUAGCACUGCCGUUUAGGUCAUAUUGGUGUAAAGCGCAUGAAGAAACUCCAUGCUGAUGGGAUUUUGGAAUCACUUGAUUAUGAAUCACUUGAUGCUUGCGUAACAUGCCUCAUGGGCAAGAUGACUAAGGCUCCGUUCUCCGGAGCGAGCAACUGACUUAUUGGAAAUAAUACAUACUGAUGUAUGCGGUCCGAUGAGUGUUAAGGCUCACGGCAAGUAUCGUUAUUCUCUGAACUUCAUAGAUGAUUUGAGCAGAUAUGGGUAUAUCUACUUGAUGGAACAUAAGUCUGAAACAUUUGAAAAGUUCAAAGAAUUUCAGAGUGAAGUGGAAAAUCAUCGUGACAAGAAAAUAAAGUUUCUACGAUCUGAUCGCGGAGACAAAUAUUUGAGUUACGAGUUUGGCCUUCAGUUAAAAACAAUGUGAAAUAGUUUCACUACUCACGCCACCUGGAACACCACAGCAUAAUGGUGUGUGCGAACGUCAUAACCGUACUUUAUUAGAUAUGGUGCAAACUAUGAUGAAUCUUAUCAAUCUACCACUAUCAUUUUGGGAUUAUGCAUUAGAGACAACUGCAUUCACGUUAAAUAGGGCACCAUCUAAAUCCAUUGAAACGACACCGUAUGAACUAUGGUUUGGCAAGAAACCUAAGCUGUCGUUUCUUAAAGUUUGAGGUUGCAAUGCUUAUGUGAAAAAGUUUCAACCUGAUAAGCUCAAACCCAAAUCGGAGAAGUGCAUCUUCAUAGGAUACCCAAAAAGAAAAUGUUGGGUACACCUUCUAUCACAGAUCCGAAGGCAAGAUAUUCGUUGCUUUGAAUGGAUCCUUUCUAGAGAAGGAAUUUCUCUCGAAAGAAGUGAGUGGGAGGAAAGUAGAACUUGAUGAGGUAACUGUACCUGCUCCCUUAUUGGAAAGUAGUUUAUCACAGAAAUAUGUUCUUGUGACUACUACACCAAUUAGUAAGGAAGCUAAUGAUGCUGAUCAUGUAACUUCAGAUCAAGUUACUACCGAAUCUCGUAGGUAAACCAGAGUGAGAUCCGCACCAGAGUGGUACGGUAAUCCUGUUCUGGAAGUCACGUUACUAGACCAUGACAAGCUUGCGAACUAUGAGGAAGCGAUGAUGAGCCCAGAUUCCGCGAAAUGGUUUGAGGCCAUGAAAUCUGAGAUAUGAUCCAUGCAUGAGAACAAAGUAUGGACUUUGAUGGAUUUGCCCGAUGAUCGGCAAGCCAUAAAAAAUAAAUGGAUCUUCAAGAGGAAGACGGACGCUGAUAGUAGUGUUAUUAUCUGCAAAGCUAGACUUGUCGAAAAAAGGUUUUUUGACAAAGUUCAAGGUGUUGACUACGAUGAAUCUUUCUCACUCGUAGCGAUGCUUAAGUCUGUCCAAAUCAUGUUAGCAAUUGCCGCAUUUUUAUGAAAUCUGGCAAAUGGAUAAACAAAACUACAUUCCUUAAUGGAUUUAAAGAAGAGUUGUAUAUGAUGCAACCAGAAGGUUUUGUCAAUCCUAAAGGUGCUAACAAAAUAUGCAAGCUCCAGCGAUCCAUCUAUGGACUGGUGCAAGCAUCUCGGAGUUGGAAUAUACGCUUUGAUAAGUUGAUCAAAGCAUAUAGUUUUAUACAGACUUGCGAUGAAGCCUGUAUUUACAAGAAAGUGAGUGGGAGCACUACAACAUUUCUGAUAAGUAUAUGUGAAUGACAUAUUGUUGAUCGGAAAUAAUGUAGAAUUAUUCUACAAAGCAUAAAGGAGUGUUUGAAAGGAAUUUUCCAAAGAAAGACCUCGGUGAAGCUGCUGACAUAUUGAACAUCAAGAUCUAUAGAGAUAGAUCAAGACGCUUGAUAAGUUUUUUUCAAUGAGUACAUACCUUGACAAGAUUUUGAAGUAGUUCAAAAUAGAACAGUCAAAGAAAGAGUUCUUGUCUGUGUUACAAGGUGUGAAAUUGAGUAAGACUCAAAACCCGACCACGACAGAAGAUAGAAAGAGAAUGAAAAUCAUUCCCUAUGCCUCAGCCAUAGGUUCUAUAAAGUAUUCCAUGCUAUGUAACAGAUCUAUUGUAUACCCUACACUGAUUUUGGCAAGGUAGUACAAUAGUGAUCUAGGAGUAGAAUACUGGACAGCGGUCAAAAUUAUCCUUAGUGGAAUAAGGAUAUGUUUCUCGAUUAUGGAGGUGACAAAAAGGUUCGUCGUAAAGGGUUACGUCAAUGCAAGUUUUGACACUAAUCUAGAUGACUCUAAGUCUCAAUCUGGAUACAUAUUGAAAGUGGGAGCAAUUAGCUAGAGUAGCUCUGUGCAGAGCAUUGUUGACAUAGAAAUUUGCAAAAUACAUACGGAUCUGAAUGUGGCAGACCCGUUGACUAAACUUCUCUCACAAGCAAAACAUGAUCACACAUUAGUACUCUUUGGGUGUUAAUUGCAUAGCGAUGUGAACUAGAUUACUGAAUCUAGUAAACCCUUUGGGUGUUGGUCACAUGAAGAUGUGAACUAAUCACAUAAAGAUGUGAACUAUUAGUGUUAAAUCACAUGGUGAUGUGAACUAGAUUAUUGACUCUAGUGCAAGUGGGAGACUGAAGGAAAUAUGCCCUACAGGCAAUAAUAAAGUUAUCAUUUAUUUCCUUAUAUCAUGAUAAAUGUUUAUUAUUCAUGCUAGAAUUGUAUUAACCGGAAACAUAAUACAUGUGUGAAUACAUAGACAAACAGAGUGUCACUAGUAUGCCUCUACUUGACUAGCUCGUUAAUCAAAGAUGGUUAUGUUUCCUAACCAUGGACAAUGAGUUGUUAUUUGAUUAACGGGAUCACAUCAUUAGGUGAAUGAUCGGAUUGACAUGACCCAUUCCAUUAGCUUAGCACCCGAUCGUUUAGUAUGUUGCUAUUGCUUUCUUCAUGACUUAUACAUGUUCCUAUGACUAUGAGAUUAUGCAACUCCCGUUUGCCGGAGGAACACUUUGUGUGCUACCAAACGUCACAACGUAACUGGGUGAUUAUAAAGGUGCUCUACAGGUGUCUCCAAAGGUACAUGUUGGGUUGGCGUAUUUCGAGAUUAGGAUUUGUCACUCCGAUUGUCGGAGAGGUAUCUCUGGGUCCUCUCGGUAAUGCACAUCACAUAAGCCUUGCAAGCAUUGCAACUAAUGAGUUAGUUGUGAGAUGAUGUAUUACGGAACAAGUAAAGAGACACGCCGGUAACAAGAUUGAACUAGGUAUUGAGAUACCGACGAUCGAAUCUCGGGCAAGUAACAUACCGAUGACAAAGGGAACAACGUAUGUUGUUAUGCGGUCUGACCGAUAAAGAUCUUCGUAGAAUAUGUAGGAGCCAAUAUGAGCAUCUAGGUUCCGCUAUUGGUUAUUGACCAGAGACAUGUCUCGGUCAUGUCUACAUUGUUCUCGAACCGUAAGGUCCGCACGCUUAAGGUUUCGAUGACAGUUAUAUUAUGAGUUUAUGAGUUUUGAUGUACCGAAGGAGUUCGGAGUCCCGGAUGAGAUCGGGGACAUGACGAGGAGUCUCGAAAUGGUCGAGACGUAAAGAUCGAUAUAUUGGACGACUAUAUUCGGACAUCGGAAAGGUUCCGAGUGAUUCGGGUAUUUUUCGGAGUACCGGAGAGUUACGGGAAUUCGCCGGGGAGUAUAUGGGCCUUAUUGGGCCAUAUGGGAAUAGAGGAGAGAGGCCAAAAGGAAGGAGGCCUGCGCCCCCCCUCUAGUCCGAAUUGGACAAGGGGCGCAGCCCCCUUCUCCUUCUUACUCUCCCCCUCUUUCCCCUUCUCCUACUCCAACAAGGAAGGAAGGAAUCCUACUCUCGGUGGGAGUAGGACUCCCCUUGGCACACCCCCUCCUAGGCCGGCCGUCCCCUCCCCCUUACUCCUUUAUAUACGGGGGUAGGGGGCACCUCUAAACACACAAGUUGAUCUUCGUGAUCAUUCCUUAGCCGUGUGCGGUGCCCCCCUCCACCAUAUUCCACCUCGGUCAUAUUGUAGCGGUGCUUAGGCGAAGCCCUGCGACGGUUGAACAUCAAGAUCGUCACCAUGCUGUCGUGCUGACAGAACUCCUCCCCGAAGCUUUGCUGGAUCAGAGCCCGGGGUGCGUCAUCGAGCUGAACGUGUGCCAAGAACUCGGAGGUGCCGGAGUAACGGUGCUUGAAUCGGUUGGACCGUGAAGACGUACGACUACAUCAACCACGCUGUGCUAACACUUCCGUUGUCGAUCUACAAAGGUACGUAGAUCACACUCUCCCCUCUCGUUGCUAUGCAUCACCAUGAUCUUGCAUGUGCGUAGGAAUUUUUUUGAAAUUACUAUGUUCCCCAACAGUUGCGUGGGCGGCCGGUGAGCAGACCUAGCUACCUCCUUAAAAAGGCAGGAACUUACCAGUCCAACCCGGCGUGCGCCGCUCAGUCGCUGACGUCUAAUAAGCUUCGGCUGAUGUAUACGACGCAGAACGCCCAUACAAUGCCCACGUGAUGGUUAGUGCUAUCAGGCCAGAGGCCCCUCGGAUCAAAUAUCCAAACCGUUGUGGAUUAGGAACGCGCGGUAACGAGCAGAGACUCACGAUCGAUGUGACCCUGUCGCCCCGUCUCGAGUACUUGCGGCAAGGGCUAAGAAUGCCCGGCCACGCCUCGUAAGUAUCUCGUGGGCACCUUCUAGGUCAACCCGACUCCACAUCACUCGCUAUUAAGCUCGCGCGGGUACACCUCAGGGUUGCCCGUCUUUAGUAACAUGGUUCAGUGUAAAGUCAUAGUAAUCAUAGUAACUAGGUGUCUAACACCAAGGGGAAAACCCGAGGAAUCACCCCCGGUGAAUUCCACUCGAUGUUAUCAUCAAGGUGAACGUAAGAGGAUCCACCCUUGAGGUCCACACUUGAGGGGUUGCACGACAGAGCCGUAACGGAAGUGGUUAAGGAGGAAAUCACCCUCGAUGACCAUGACCGAAUAGCUACACUACAGAGAUCUCAUCAGGAGUGAUGUAAGAGGUUCCACCCUCGGCACUCGAUGGUAACUCUGCAGAGUCAAGCAACAAAAGGGGUAAGUGAUGUGCGGUGCCAUGGCCCGGUCUUCGAUCCCGUUGAUCGGGUCUUCGAUGAUGAAGCAGGGGCAACAAGGACAAGGUGGGGGUCACUGAUGGAUCACUAACCAACCUAUACUAAGCAGUUUAGGAUAAGCAUGUAGGUAACAAUAAGCAGGUUACAAAAGCAGGCUAUGCAUCAGAAUAGGAGCAAACAAUAACAGUAUCAAAAUCUAAUGCAAGCAUCAGAGAAUGGAAUGGGCGAUAUCGGGAUGAUCAAAGGGGGGCUUGCCUGGUUGCUUAGACAAGAAGGAGGGGGCGUCGGUGACGUAGUCGAUCACAGCGGCAUCGGCAGCCGCCACGGGGUCUACCGAAGAGAGAGGGGGGAGAAACAGUAAAUACAUAGCAAGCAAGUGCAUAACAGGACAAUAGGCAUAGCUAGACGUGUUCUAACGCGGUCCUAGACGUUAUAGGUGAAGGGGGAAUUCAACUAGGAAGGUGUUCCCGAUUCUGGACCUGUGUUAGACAGAUGACCGGAGGGGGAAAGUUCCAUGUUCAGAUAGUUAGAGGCAUUUGACAGGUAUGUGGGUAGUGUAUUCGGGUUCGUCUCGUCGUUCUGAGCAACUUUCAUAUAUAAAGUUUUUCGAUCCGAGCUACGGUUAAUUUUCCAUGAUUUUUCAAAGUUUUAAACAUAUUAUGGAAUUAAAUAAAUUAUCAGAAAAGAAAUACUACGUCAGCUUGACAUCACUGUGACGUCAGCAGUCAACAGGACGGCUGACCAGGUCAAACUGACCUAUGAGUCCAUCGGGACCCACAUGUCAUUGACAAGGAACUAACAGGGUUUUAUUUUAACUAAACAGGGUUAAUUAGCAGGCACGCCCCACGUGUCAUUGUCUAAUUAACAUAACUAAUUAGUUUUAAUUAAAACAGUUUAACUAGACUAAUUAUAAAUAGGGGCCCACAUGUCGGUGGCCGGGGUUGCCUAGUCAGCGCGUUAUCUGGGUCAACCAAGUCAAUGGGGCCCACUGGGCCCACUGGUCAGUCACACAAAGGCGAGGCCCACUGCGCCACGUCAGCGUCGGCGCCGGAGACAACUCCGGUGACCAAAAAUGCGGUGGAGCUCGCCAGACUUGGCCGGAAAAAUGCUACGGCGCUUCGUUCGGGGCGUGCUUAGGCUCGUUCGAACGAGCGUUCAACGCCGCAUCCAUCUACGGGAGCGGUGCGGUCGUAAACGGCCGGAAGCUAUGGCGGUGAGCGGCAGAGCGGAUGCCGAAGUUCGGCCCUUGCACGAACUGCGGCUAGAGGGCACAACAGGACUACUGGGGAGGCUCUACGGGGUCCUGGUGAGUCCCGGAGCAUGGUGGCGAGGUCGGGUGAGCACGACAUCAAGAAGGACGAUGGUGACGAGCUUCGUUGUGGAGUGGGUUUCGGGUGGCGAUGGCAACAGCGACUAUGGUGAUGGAUCAGUGCGGGGGAGCAAGGGGAGAGACGUGGUGGCUCACCGGGAGCCGUAGGGAAGUGGCAGUGUGCUCGGGGAGGCGCGCAGCAUCUGGAAUCGACGGCGAUAGACGGCGGCGAUCCGAGGAAGGAGAAGAAGAUGGCGGCAGUGUGGAGGCUUCCCAACACGUUCCGUUCGGCGUAGUCGACGUCGGGGAGCCGUUCGGGCACGUCGGCGGGGCAAUCGGGGCACGGUGGCCGCGGGAUCGAGCAUCGCAGCGGCGAGCUCUCGGGCAAGCUCGCAGCGGGAGCUAUAGAGAGAUUGAGGGGGGAAACUGGGGGUAGCUAGGGUUUCCAGGGGGUCGAAGUUGGCCUUAGCCGCGCGGGGAGGCUCGGCGGAUGGUCGCCGCGUGGCCAUCCGCGGCCUGGACGAGCGCCCGGCGGCCACCGAGCUCGGUGAGCAGUGAGGAAGGAGGGGACUCUAGGUGGGCUGGGCCACACCUGUAGCUAGUAGGCCUAAGUGCACAGUAGAAAUUAGGCCCCUUUUUAUUUUCUUAUUUCUGUUUUCUGUUUUUCUUUUCUGUUUGCAAAAAGUUUAUCACCUAAAUUAUUUUUAUAACAUAAGGGAGCUAACUCAUAAAUUUGAGUGCAAUAUAUCCUAGCACCAAAAACUAGUUUGGGUAAAUUAGUAUUUCAAAAUUAAAUUUGGAUUAAUUUUAAGGUUAUUAAUUGUUGUUGUUAGCCACUGUUUCAGGUUGUUAGUGUCACUUAAUUAAUCCAUAAAAUGUCGGUUACAAUUUUAUAACUGCCUCUAAAUUAUUUUCCAUUUAAUGAACAUUUUAGUUUUUGAUUUGAACAACUUUUAUUUUCCACUUUGAAUUUAAUUGAAGUUUGAAUUGGGAGUUUGAAAAUCUAUAUGAUGCAAAUCAUGAUUAGACACUGUUAAAUUUGCUGACAUGGCAUUAACUAAGGGUGAUCACUGUAGUGUGAUACUGGGGAUGUUACAGUUUAGUACCUGCCCUUGAUCAAAGCACUACUACUUACCCCAUUGGCAUUGCCCCCAACAUUCAAUACCACAGGUCCUAGGUUCGAGACCCAGCCCAAACUUUUUUUGUUUGAUUUUUAUUUUUUUUAACAAAAUUUGGUACAUAUGUUCAGUUUGCAGCAAGUUGAGCAAUACAAGUUCAGUCAUAAAAAUUUAGUGAGCCUCAAAUUCAGCAAAGAUGGACACAGAAACAAAAAUGCAAUGCUGCAUCAAGUUCAGUUUGCAUCAAAUUCAGUUUGCAUCAAAUUACUAAUGUCUGGUACAGUUUAAAUGAGCUACACAUUUGAGCUCUAUUAGUUUCUUCACUGAAUGAACUACAUUUGAGCUCAAUGAGCAUCAAAUUACUCAAUGAACCAUUUACUGAAUGAACUAUUUGAGCUCUGCUAGUUUGAAACACUCAGAUUUAAGUUUCUGCCAGAAAAUCACUGAAUCACAAGUGCAACAGCACUGAUUCAUCUGAACUCAUCAAACAUGUUGACUAUUUUCUUCUUGGGCACAUGUGCACUUCUUGUUGGUGCACUUGGGCAAACUGAUUCAACUCUUCUUUUCUUGGCCUUUUUUUGUUGUUUCUUCUUUGCUUCUUGAUCUUGUUUUUCCUUCAGUGCAAUAGCUCUCUUUGCUUCUUGAUCUUCUCUUCUCUUCAUUGUUGCCUCUGCCUUAGCUGCAAUUGCUUCAAUUGCCCUGGCCUCCUUCUCUUCUUGUAAUGUUGCCUUUUCUUAUCGCUGAAGCUUCCAUCUUUGCUUCUGUUUUCUCAGCCUUCUUCUCUUUUGUUGCUCUUAUUCUUUUGGCUGCCUUAUCUACUCUCCUGAUAGCAAUUUCCCGCCUCUUUGCUCCUGCCUCCCCUGCUCUCCUCUCUGCCAUCUCAUUCAUUGCCUCUAGUGCUUCAUCUCUCCUGGCUGCCAUCUGCCUUUCUUUGUCUCUUUGCAUCUUCAACAGCUUCAUGGUCAGAUUGCCACCAUUUGUAGCUGUUGUUGUAUGUGCUGAAGCUUGAGAAGUGGAUGCUUGUAAUAUGAAUGAUGAAUCGGGCAGAGUGCCUUCAGUUUCUUCUCUAUGUACAGGCCUAGACUGCUGCAUCUUAAGAAGCAUUGUACAUCCAAAGUCUUGCACCUAUGCAUAGCCAAUCAUCACAUGCUAUCAUCACUGGUGUAUCAUAUUAAAUACAACCUAAAAGAAAUGGACCAAAAAGAUUAGAAUUUACCUGAAAAACAACUGGUGUAUCAUAUCCAUCCUCUUGUUGUUGCACUGGGCAAUCAUUCUGUGUGGCAUUGACAUCCUCCUGUGUAAGUUGGCCAUCAUCUUGUGUGACAUGAACCUCCUCCUGUGACUUGCUCAUCAUCUUGUGUGACAUGAACCUCCUCCUGUGUGACUUGCCCAUCAUCUUGUUGUGCCAUAACUGGUUCAUCAUCAGACAUAUCCUCAGGAAUAGCCCUUGGCCCCCUUCUCACUGAUAGUUUUGGCAAAAUGCCAGGUUUUCUAGUAUUACAUCCUUUGAUGUUAUGGCCCUGUUCAUGGCAGUAUGAACAUGUUAUUGUGCCUCCAUGUAUGGUCAGUACCUUUGUGCCAUCUUUAUUUUCAAUCUCAUAAGGCUGCUUUCUCCUACUCUUGUUUGAAGGCCUCCCAACUUUCUUUUCAUAGACAGGUUGUUUGAUUUCACAAGCAUUCAUCUUCUCCCACUCACUCCUAUCUCUGCAAGGCUUGAUAAUUGGCUUGUAUGCUAACUUGAAUGCUUCUAUACUGUAGCAGGAGUGCACCAAACUCUCUAGGUCAAUUCUCUCAUGUCUACAGCAUGCAAUUGCUAACUCCACUAAGAUCCCACAUUUUGCAUGUACAACUCUCUUCCUUGAGGUCAACAAUGUAUGUCUUGCUCCUGUUGUCAACCUGGAAGAUGCCAUCACCAGCCCCUGAAACCAUGCAUGUAGCCGCCAGCUCUAUAUUCUUUUCAAUUCUUUUUCUUAUUUUUGGGCAUACAGAACCAGGCCAGUUCUUUGUCUCUUUUCUUUUGUUGUAGAAUCUGACCAUGAGCUGGGUUUUGAUCUUCUCAAUCAUUGAUCUGAGAUGCAUCUCCCUAGCCUCAAGAAUAUAUUUGUUGAAAACCUCACAAUUGUUGUUCAGAAGGAUAUCACACUUGACCAAGUCUCUUUGGAAGCCCCUAACCCAAGUGUUGGGUGGUAGCUGCUCAAGACAUUUGUAUGCUUCUAGGCUGAUGACCUUCAUUUCCUCCAUGCUUGCAGCCCACAGCUCUGGUGUUGUGCUCCUUGCACACUUCCAUAACUGGUUCUUAAGAACAUCUCCUUUGUGUGUUUGCUGAAAAUUCUGCCAUAUAUGCCUAACACAGUGUUUGUGCUCUACAUCAGGAAAGUGUUGCCUCACUUCCUUGAUUAGCCCCUUUUGCUUGUCUGACAUUAUAGUCCAUGGCUCUGUGUUCAGAAUUCCCAAGUCACUCUUCAGGUUUGACAGAAACCAUUUCCAUGUGUCAGUGUUCUCUACCUCAACAACAACAAAAGCUAGAGGGUAAAUGCAGUCAUUAGGAUCCAUGCCAACAGCACACAGCAUAACACCUCCAUACUUUGUCUUCAGGUGGCAUCCAACCAAACAGAUGACAGGCCUACAGGCUUGCAUGAAACCCCUUUUGCAGGUAUCCAAAAAGAAAUAACAACUUCCAAAUAUGCCAUCAUUGACACCUACAUAGAAAGAGCUGCCAGGGUUUGAUCUUUUGAAUUCUGCUGCAUAAUCCCACAUACUGUUAUACUGCUCUAACUCAUCUCCUUCAAUGACUUUCUUCACUAGUCUCCUGGCCCUUCUAAGUUUGCUCCUUGUUGUUGUCAUGUUCCAGUCCUUCUGAACAACCCUUGAAAAAUUCUUCAUGUUCAUGUUUUCAUCUGCUCUGAAUGAAUCAAGAUACUUUCCUGCCAUGAAGGGAGUAGUCAAUGACUUGACACUCCAUUUCUUUAUGCAGGUAUGAUUUGGGUUAUACUUCUUGAUCAUGAAGCAGUUGAUUCUCCCAUCAAAUGAUGCAUACAAAGAUCAUGGACACCCAACUUCACAAAUGCCUUUAACUCUUUUCCUAUCAAUUCUAGGGCACUUGAUGUCAACCCUUUCAUGACAGCUAUACUCCUUGAUAACCCUCCUCAGUAACUGAACACUAGCAAAUGUCUGACCCACUUUGAACUCUGGUUUAGCCAGGUCCUCUUCGCUGAAACUUUUGAAAUUCAGCUUAACCUUAUCUUCAUCAGAUGAAGGCAAGCACAUGUCCACAUCUUCGGUAGGAUCAUCAGCUUCUUCUUGGACUUCUUUACCUUUGCCUUUGUCACAAUCAACAUUGUUGUCAAACAAGUCAUCAUCAUCUUGCAGAUCAAUGUCUGAACCAAUAAUUUGUGGAAUGUAAUCUUCAUCUGAAUCCUGCAUUACUGAACAACAAACUGUGUCUGCUACAUCCAUGUUCAAACACCUAGAGGAUUUCCUGAAGGAAAUAUGCCCUAGAGGCAAUAAUAAAGUUAUUAUUUAUUUCCUUAUAUCAUGAUAAAUGUUUAUUAUUCAUGCUAGAAUUGUAUUAACAGGAAACAUAAUACAUGUGUGAAUACAUAGACAAACAGAGUGUCACUAGUAUGCCUCUACUUGACUAGCUCGUUGAUCAAAGAUGGUUAUGUUUCCUAACCAUAGACAUGAGUUGUCAUUUGAUUAACGGGAUCACAUCAUUAGGAGAAUGAUGUGAUUGACUUGACCCAUUCCGUUAGCUUAGCACUUGAUCAUUUAGUUUGUUGCUAUUGCUUUCUUCAUGACUUAUACAUGUUCCUAUGACUAUGAGAUUAUGCAACUCCCGUUUACCGAAGGAACAGUUUGUGUGCUACCAAACGUCACAACGUAACUGGGUGAUUAUAAAGGUGCUCUACAGGUGUCUCCAAAGGUACUUGUUGGGUUGGCGUAUUUCGAGAUUAGGAUUUGUCACUCCGAUUGUCGGAGAGGUAUCUCUGGGCCCACUCGGUAAUGCACAUCACUAUAAGCCUUGCAAGCAUUGCAACUAAUGAGUUAGUUGCAGAAUGAUGUGUUACGGAACGAGUAAAGAGACUUGCCGGUAACGAGAUUGAACUAGGUAUUGAGAUACUGAUGAUCGAAUCUCGGGCAAGUAACAUACCGAUGACAAAGGGAACAACGUAUGUUGCUAUGCGGUUUGACCGAUAAAGAUCUUCGUAGAAUAUGUAGGAGCCAAUAUGAGCAUCCAGGUUCCGCUAUUGGUUAUUGACCGGAGACGUGUCUCGGUCAUGUCUACAUAGUUCUCGAACCCGUAGGGUCCGCACGCUUAAAGUUCCAUGAUGGUUAUAUUAUGAGUUUAUGUGUUUUGAUGUACCGAAGGAGUUCAGAGUCCCGGAUGAGAUCGGGGACAUGACGAGGAGUCUCGAAAUGGUCGAGAUGUAAAAAUCGAUAUAUUAGACGACUAUAUUCGGACAUCGGAAAGGUUCCGAGUGAUUCGGGUAUUUUCGGGAGUACCGGGGAGUUACGGGAAUUCGUAUUGGGCCUUAAUGGGCCAUAUGGGAAAGGAGAUAAAGGCCUCAAAGGGUGGCCGCACCCCUCCCCAUGGGCUGGUCCGAAUUGGACUAGGGAGGAGGGGCGCCCCCUUCCUUCCUUCUUCUUUUCCCUUCCCUUUCCUUCCCUCCUACUCCUACUACUUGGAAGGGCUCCUAGUUCUACUAGGAAAGGGGGAAUCCUACUCCCGGUGGGAGUAGGACUCCCCUAGGGCGCGCCAUAGAGAGGGCUGGCCCCUCCCCUCCUCUACUCCUUUAUAUACGUGGCCAGGGGGCACCCCAUAGACACAACAAUUGAUCCUUUCGAUCUCUUAGCCAUGUGCGGUGCCCCCCUCCACCAUAAUCCACCCCGGUCAUAUCGUAGCGGUGCUUAGGCGGAGCCCUGCGUCGGUAGAACAUCAUCGUCGUCACCACGCCAUCGUGCUGAUGGAACUCUCCCUCAAAGCUCGGCUGGAUCGGAGUUCGAGGGACGUCAUCGAGUUGAACGUGUGCAGAACUCGGAGGUGCCGUGCGUUCGGUACUUGAUCGGUCAGAUCGUGAAGACGUACGACUACAUCAACCGCGUUGAUAUAACGCUUCCGCGAACGGUCUACGAGGGUACGUAGACAACACUCUCCCCUCUUGUUGCUAUGCAUCACCAUGAUCCUGCGUGUGCGUAGGAAAAUUUUGAAAUUACUACGUUCCCCAAUAGUGGCAUCCGAGCCUAGGUUUUAUGCGUUGAUGUUAUGCACGAGUAGAACACAAGUGAUUUGUGGGCGAUAUAAGUCAUACUGCUUACCAGCAUGUCAUACUUUGGUUCGGCGGUAUUGUUGGAUGAAGCGGCCCGGACCGACAUUACGCGUACGCUUACGCGAAACUGGUUCUACCGACGUGCUUUGCACACAGGUGGCUGGCGGGUGUCAGUUUCUCCAACUUUAGUUGAACCAAGUGUGGCUACGCCCGGUCCUUGCAAAGGUUAAAACAGCACCAACUUGAAAAACUAUUGUUGUGGUUUUGAUGCGUAGGUAAGAGCGGUUCUUGCUCAGCCCGUAGCAGCCACGUAAAACUUGCAACAACAAAGUAGAGGACGUCUAACUUGUUUUUGCAGGGCAUGUUGUGAUGUGAUAUGGUCAAGACGUGAUGAGAUAUAAGUUGUUAUAUGAUAUGAUCAUGUUUUGUUGAAGUUAUCGGCAACAGGCAAAAGCCUUAUGGUUAUCUCUCUAUUGCAUAAGAUGCAAGCGCCAAAUAAUAGCUUUACUUUAUCGCUAUGCGAUAGCAAUAGUUGCAAGAGCAAUUGUUGGCGAGACAACCAUGUGACGACACAUUGAUAUGGAUCAAGAUGAUGGAGAUCAUGGUGUCAUGCCGGUGACGAUGGGAAUCAUGACGAUGUUUUGGAGAUGGAGAUCAAAGGCACAAUAUGAUGAUGGCCAUAUCAUGUCACAUAUAUUGAUUGCAUGUGAUGUUUAUCUUUUAUGCAUCUUAUCUUGCUUUGAUUGACGGUAGCAUUAUAAGAUGAUCUCUCACUAAAUUUCAAGAUAAAAGUGCUCUCCCUGAGUAUGCACCGUUGCCAAAGUUCGUCGUGCCCAGACACCACGUGAUGAUUGGGUGUGAUAAGCUCUACGUCCAUCUACAACGGGUGCAAGCCAGUUUUUGCACACGCAGAAUACUCAGGUUAAGCUUGACGAGCCUAGCAUAUGCAGAUAUGUCCUCAGAACACUGAGACCGAAAGGUCGAGCGUGAAUCAUAUAGUAGAUAUGAUCAACAUAUUUGAUGUUCACCAUUGAAAGCUACUCCAUUUCACGUGAUGAUCGGUUAUGGUUUAGUUGAUUUGGAUCACGUGAUCACUUAGAAGAUUAGAGGGAUGUCUUUCUAAGUGGGAGUUCUUAAGUAAUAUGAUUAAUUGAACUUAAAUUUAUCAUGAACUUAGUCCUGGUAGUAUUAGCAUAUCUAUGUUGUAGAUCAAUAGCUCGCGUUUAGCUCCCCUAUUUUAUUUUUGAUAUGUUCCUAGAGAAAACUAAGUUGAAGAUGUUAGUAGCAAUGAUGCGGAUUGGAUCCUGUGAUCUGAGGUUUAUCCUCAUUGCUGCACAGAAGAAUUAUGCCCUUAAUGCACCGCUAGGUGACAGACCUAUUGCAGGAGCAGAUGCAGACGUCAUGAACGUUUGGAUAGCUCAAUAUGAUGACUACUUGAUAGUUUAGUGCACCAUGCUUAACAGCUUAGAAUCGGGACUUCAAAGACGUUUUGAACGUCAUGGAUCAUAUGGAUGUUCCGAGAGUUGAAGUUAAUAUUUCAAGCAAAUACCCGAGUUGAGAGAUAUGAAGUCUCCAACAAGUUCUAUAGCUAAAAGAUGGAGGAGAAUAACUCAAGCAGUGAGCAUGUGUUCAGAUUGUCUGGGUACUACAAUCGCUUGAAUCAAGUGGGAGUUAAUCUUCCAGAUAAAAUAGUGAUUGAAAGAAUUCUCUAGUCACCACCACCAAGUUAGUAGAACUUCGUGAUGAACUAUAGUAUGCAAGGGAUGAUGAAAACGAUUCCCGAGCUUUUCAUGAUGAUGAAAUCGAUGAAAGGUAGAAAUCAAGAAAGAACAUCAAGUGUUGAUGAUUAACAAGACCACUAGUUUCAAGAAAAGGGCAAAGGGAAAGAAAGGGAACUUCAAGAAGAACGGCAAGCAAGUUGCUGCUCAAGUGAAGAAGCCCAAGUCUGGUCCUAAGACUGAGACUAAGUGCUUCUACUGCAAAGGGACUGGUCACUGGAAGCAGAACUGCCCCAAGUAUUUGGCGGAUAAGAAGGAUGGCAAAGUGAACAAAGGUAUAUUUGAUAUACAGAUUAUUGAUGUGUAUUUUACUAGUGUUCAUAGCAACCCCUCGGUAUUUGAUACUGGUUCAGUUGCUAAGAGUAGUAACUCGAAACGGGAGUUGCAGAAUGAAUAGAGACUAGUUAAGGGUGAAGUGACGAUGUGUGUUGGAAGUGGUUCCAAGAUUGAUAUGAUCAUCAUCGCACACUCCAUAUACUUUUGGGAUUAGUGUUAAACCUAAAUAAAUGUUAUUUGGUGUUUGCGUUGAGCAUGAAUAUGAUUUGAUCAUGUUUAUUGCAAAAUGGUUAUUCAUUUAAGUUAGAGAAUAAUUGUUGUUCUGUUUACAUGAAUAAAACCUUCUAUGGUCAUACACCCAAUGAAAAUGGUUCGUUGGAUCUCGAUCGUAGUGAUACACAUAUUCAUAAUAUUGAAACCAAAAGAUGCAAAGUUAAUAAUGAUAGUGCAACUUAUUUGUGGCACUGCCGUUUAGGUCAUAUUGGUGUAAAGCGCAUGAAGAAACUCCAUGCUGAUGGACUUUUGGAAUCACUUGAUUAUGAAUCACUUGAUUCUUACAGCCAUGCCUCAUGGGCAAGAUGACUAAGACUCCGUUCUCCGGAACAAUGGAGCGAGCAACUGACUUAUUGGAAAUAAUACAUACUGAUGUAUGCGGUCCGAUGAGUGUUAAGGCUCACGGCAAGUACCGUUAUUUUUUGUUCUUCACAGAUGAUUUGAGCAGAUAUGAGUAUAUCUACUUGAUGAAACACAAGUCUGAAAUAUUUGAAAAGUUCAAAGAAUUUCAGAGUGAAGUGGAGAAUCAUCGUAACAAAAAUAAAAGUUUCUAUGAUAUGAUCGCAGAAGUAAAAUAUUUGAGUUACAAGUUUGGCCUUCAGUUAAAACAAUGUGAAAUAGUUUCACUACUCACGCCACCUGGAACACCACAGUGUAAUGGUGUGUCUGAACGUCAUAACCAUGCUUUAUUAGAUAUGGUGCGAUCUAUGAUGUCUCUUACUGAUCUACCACUAUCGUUUUGGGGUUAUGCAUUAGAGACAGCUACAUUCACGUUAAAUAGGGCACCAUCUAAAUCCGUGGAGAUGACACCGUAUGAACUGUGGUUUGGCGAGAAACCUAAGCUGUUGUUUCUUAAAGUUUGGGACUGCGAUGCUUAUGUGAAAAAGUUUCAACAUGAUAAGCUUGAACCCAAAUCGGAGAAGUAAAUCUUCAUAGGAUACCCAAAAGAAAAUGUUGGGUACACCUUCUAUCACAGAUCCGAAGGCAAGUUAUUCGUUGCUUUGAAUGGAUCCUUUCUAGAGAAGGAGUUUCUCUCGAAAGAAGUGAGUGGGAGGAAAGUAGAACUUGAUGAGGUAACUGUACCUGCUCCCUUAUUGGAAAGUAGUUCAUCACAUAAAUCUGUUCCUGUGACUACUACACCAAUUAGUGAGGAAGCUAAUGAUGAUGAUCAUGUAACUUCAGAUCAAGUUACUACCGAACCUCGUAGGUAAAACAGAGUAAGAUCCGCGCCAGAGUGGUACGGUUAUCCUAUUCUAGAGGUCGUGUUACUUGACCAUGACGAGCCUACGAACUAUGAGGAAGCGAUGAUGAGCCCAGAUUCCGCGAAAUGGCUUGAGGCCAUGAAAUCUGAGAUGAGAUCCAUGUAUGAGAACAAAGUAUGGACUUUGAUUGACUUGCCCAAUGAUCGGCGAGCCAUUGAGAUUAAAUGGAUCUUCUAGAGGAAGAUGGACGCUGAUAGUAGUGUUACUAUCUACAAAGCUAGAAUUGUCGCAAAAAGGUUUUUCGACAAGUUCAAGGUGUUGACCACAAUGAGAGUUUCUCACUCGUAUCUAUGCUUAAGUCUGUCCGAAUCAUGUUAGCAAUUGCCGCAUUUUAUGAAAUCUGGCAAAUGGAUAAACAAAAUUGCAUUCCUUAAUGGAUUUAUUAAAGAAGAGUUGUAUAUGAUGCAACCAGAAGGUUUUGUCAAUCCUAAAGGUACUAAGAAAAUAUGCAAGCUCCAGUGGUCCAUCUAUGGACUGGUGCAAGCAUCUCAGAGUUGGAAUAUACGCUUUGAUAAGUUGAUCAAAGCAUAUAGUUUUAUACAGACUUACGGUGAAGCCUAUAUUUACAAGAGAGUGAGUGGGAGCACUACAUCAUUUCUGAUAAGUAUAUGUGAAUGACAUAUUGUUGAUCGGAGAUAAUGUAGAAUUAUUCUGCAAAGCAUAAAGGAGUGUUUGAAAGGAGUUUUUCAAAGAAAGACCCCGGUGAAGCUGCUUACAUAUUGAGCAUCAAGAUCUAUAGAGAUAGAUCAAGACGCUUGAUAAGUUUUUCAAUGAGUACAUACCUUGACAAGAUUUUGAAGUAGUUCAAAAUGGAACAGUUAAAGAAAGAGUUCUUGCCUGUGUUACAAGGUGUGAAACUGAGAAAGACUCAAAGCCCGACCACGGCAGAAGAUAGAAAGAGAAUGAAACUCAUUCCCUAUGCCUUGGCCAUAGGUUCUAUAAAAUAUGCCAUGCUGUGUACCAGAUCUAUUGUAUACCCUACACUGUUUUUGGCAAGGGAGUACAAUAGUGAUCUAGGAGUGGAACACUGGACAGCGGUCAAAAUUAUCCUCAGUGGAAUAAGGAUAUGUUUCUCGAUUAUGGAGGUGACAAAAAGGUUCGUCGUAAAGGGUUACGUUGAUGCAAAUUUUGACACUGAUCCAGAUGACUCUAAAUCUCAAUCUGGAUACAUAUUGAAAGUGGGAGCAAUUAGUUAGAGUAGCUCCGUGCAGAGCAUUGUUGACAUAGAAAUUUGCAAAAUACUUACGGAUUUGAAUGUGGCAGACCCAUUGACUAAACUUCUCUCACAAGCAAAACAUGAUCACACCUUAGUACCCUUUGGGUGUUAAUCACAUAGCGAUGUGAACUAGAUUAUUGACUCUAGUAAACCCUUUGGGUGUUGGUCACAUGUCGAUGUGAACUAUGGUGUUAAUCACAUGGUGAUGUGAACUAUUGGUAUUAAAUCACAUGGCGAUGUGAACUAGAUUAUUGACUCUAGUGCAAGUGGGAGACUGAAGGAAAUAUGCCCUAGAGGCAAUAAUAAAGUUAUUAUUUAUUUCCUUAUAUCAUGAUAAAUGUUUAUUAUUCAUGUUAGAGUUGUAUUAACAUGAAACAUAAUACGUGUGUGAAUACAUAGACAAACAGAGUGUCACUAGUAUGCCUCUACUUGACUAGCUCGUUGAUCAAAGAUGGUUAUGUUUCCUAACCAUAGACAUGAGUUGUCAUUUGAUUAACGGGAUCACAUCAUUAGGAGAAUGAUGUGAUUGACUUGACCCAUUCCAUUAGCUUAGCACUUGAUCAUUUAGUUUGUUGCUAUUGCUUUCUUCAUGACUUAUACAUGUUCCUAUGACUAUGAGAUUAUGCAACUCCCGUUUACCGGAGGAACACUUUGUGUGCUACCAAACGUCACAACGUAACUGGGUGAUUAUAAAGGUGCUCUACAGGUGUCUCCAAAGGUACUUGUUGGGUUGGCGUAUUUCGAGAUUAGGAUUUGUCACUCCGAUUGUCGGAGAGGUAUCUCUGGGCCCACUCGGUAAUGCACAUCACUAUAAGCCUUGCAAGCAUUGCAACUAAUGAGUUAGUUGCAGGAUGAUGUGUUACGAAACGAGUAAAGAGACUUGCCGGUAAUGAGAUUGAACUAGGUAUUGAGAUACCGAUGAUCGAAUCUCGGGCAAGUAACAUACCGAUGACAAAGGGAACAACGUAUGUUGUUAUGCGGUUUGACCGAUAAAGAUCUUCGUAGAAUAUGUAGGAGCCAAUAUGAGCAUCCAGGUUCCGUUAUUGGUUAUUGACCGGAGACGUGUCUCGGUCAUGUCUACAUAGUUCUCGAACCCGUAGGGUCCGCACGCUUAAAGUUCGAUGACGGUUAUAUUAUGAGUUUAUGUGUUUUGAUGUACCGAAGGAGUUCGGAGUCCCGGAUGAGAUCGGGGACAUGACGAGGAGUCUCGAAAUGGUCGAGACGUAAAAAUCGAUAUAUUAGACGACUAUAUUCGGACAUCGGAAAGGUUCCGAGUGAUUCGGUUAUUUUCGGGAGUACCGGGGAGUUACGGGAAUUCGUAUUGGGCCUUAAUGGGCCAUACGGGAAAGGAGAGAAAGGCCUCAAAGGGUGGCCACACCCCUCCCCAUGGGCUGGUCCGAAUUGGACUAGGGAGAAGGGGCGCCCCCUUCCUUCUCCUUUUCCCUUCCCUUUCCUUCCCUCCUACUCCUACUACUUGGAAGGGCUCCUAGUUCUACUAGGAAAGGGGGAAUCCUACUCCCGGUGGGAGUAGGACUCCCCUAGGGCGCGCCAUAGAGAGGGCCGGUCCUUCCCCUCCUCCACUCCUUUAUAUACGUGGCCAGGGGCACCCCAUAGACACAAUAAUUGAUCCUUUGGAUCUCUUAGCCAUGUGCGGUGCCCCCCUCCAUCAUAAUCCACCUCGGUCAUAUUGUAGCGGUGCUUAGGCGGAGCCCUGUGUCGGUAGAACAUCAUCAUCAUCACCACGCCGUCGUGCUGAUGGAACUCUCCCUCAAAGCUCGACUGGAUCGGAGUUCGAGGGACGUCCUCGAGUUGAACGUGUGCAGAACUCGGAGGUGCCGUGCGUUCGGUACUUGAUCGGUCAGAUCGUGAAGACGUACGACUACAUCAACUGCGUUGAUAUAACGCUUCCAUGAACGGUCUACGAGGGUACGUAGACAACACUCUCCCCUCUUGUUGCUAUGCAUCACCAUGAUCCUGCGUGUGCGUAGAGUUUUUUUGAAAUUACUAUGUUCCCCAACAUUUCCUGGCCCUAAACCCAAACUGAGAUGAAAGGUAAGUAGUUCCUGGCUGAGGUGGACUUGGUAUGAAAUCAUCUUCUUCUGACUCUGCUCCACUGUCUGACUCUGUUUCAUCUGGCUCAUGCUCUUGUUCAGUCUCAUGCUCUUGAUCAUGCUGAGGCAGCUCCUGUUCCACUUGAGGGAGCUCAGCCUGUUCCUGUUCCACCAGAGUGAGCUCAGCCUGCUCCUCUUAUUGUUGUUGUGUUUGCUCUUCUUGCUGGUGUGCCUUCUCCUUCUUUGGCCUAAUGCAACUGAACCUGAUAAUUGGAGGAUCCUCAUCAUCAGAGUGAACUUGAACAAGAGAAAUAUAUGAUCUCAUGCUCUCAUCAUGAUCAAGGAAAACCUAUUGGAAGUGGUUGCCAUUCAGAACACAAUCCUUCAUGUUUUCUGUCAUAGUGUUGUCCCCUAUCUUAAUCUCUCUUAAUCCAUUCCUAUACACUGUCAAUCCAGGAACACAUCAAUAAGCUCUGAUCCUGCCCUCAAACUCAUACCCAAUUUUCUCAACCAGACUAGCAACAACAGUAGGUGUCCAAUUAUCUAUGUCACAAUAGUCAUACCAAAUGGAGUGGCCUUUGUGGUAAUCCCCAUGCUUGCCUGCACAAAGGAAAUAGCCACCAUGUAUGACCUCAACAGAGAAGUAGUUGCUUAGGGGUCCUGCAAAACAUUCAAAGUUGCAAUGUUCAGACAAGAUAAACAGAGACAUUUAUGAAGGUUCAGUCAAGCUGAAAAUAUUCAGUUAACUCCAAAAGUUCAGUUACUGUAUCAAACCACCAAUAGCUCAGUUAACUGAUUAAGUAGGACCUAACCAAGGGUACUGAGCAAGUAGUAAAGUAAUGUAAUUGGACCAAAACAAGCAAAGUGUCAAUGUUCAGUUAUUAUACUAAAUCAAGUUCAGACAUUUCAAUAUUCAAACAGGUUAACACAUAUAUAUUCAGUUAUCUUACAGAGCAAAUUUCAUACAUGUUGCAGAAAGAAAGCACGGAUUCAUGGCCUCCACUGACCAAAUAUAUGAUCUUUCAUGGGCAAAAUGAUCAUCUCAUGCGCAAAACGCAUCUCUUAUCAUGAUCAACAAUCAGUCCAUAUAAAGCAAAGAAACAGGGGAGAAGCUAGCCAGCAUGGCCUCCCCUAACAGGCUCCAAAAUCAAACCCUAAUUUUGCUAUGCAAGCCCUAGACCAUCUCUAAAUACAAGAUCCACAACACAUCAGAAACCCUUGCAUUGAUCUGUGGCCCUGCUAAACGUCCGCUCCUAAAAUCCUGAACCCUACACCAUCCGUGGCAAAAAAGGAGAGAAAUAGCCCAAACCCUAGCACCUGUGCGCAAUUGACUCGCACGCAAGCUCUUCCCCGGGAGCUUUCAUGGACAGAUCGAGCACAGAACCUGCCGGCGACGGUGACGUACCAUAGAGGGGCGGCGAGGCAUGGUCGUCACGACGCGACGGUGCGAGAGGGACGUGACGUAGGCCCCUCCCAAAUGGUGCGGACGGUGGCGGCGCAGCGUCCGGCGACGAGCUCACGGUGUCGUCGCCACGCUCGCCCACGCCGGAGACGACGAACCACCUCGGCAGCGACAGCGAACCAGGGGAGAAGGGAGAAGCAGGGGAGUGGCUCGGGUGGGCUCGGUCGGAGCGGUUGGGCUCGAUCCGACCAGGUGGCUCGAUCGAUCCGACCAGGUGGGGGAUGCUUUAAUAACUGGAUGUUUUGCAAAAAAGACCUGCAUGCAUGCGUAUUCGAGCGAGCUGGGCACAUGUGGCAAUCAAUGCACACUUGGCAUCGGUUGACUCGGGCCAGAUCAGCACAUACGUACACAAAACCGUAUAUUGGACUGUAGAUGACCCUCUAGAGCAAGUUUGGUGAAACGCAAGUAAAUGGACCUGUAGUGAUUUUUUUCUCAAUUUAUAAUUAUACCUAUUCACUCCUCUUUAAGUUUUAUGUGUAUCCUUCCACAAAGUACGUCGCGUUGCAAGGAGAAGGAACAUUGCGUCACGUUACAAGAAUUUUUUUAUUGAAAAUUCUUCAUCCGCGUCAGUUAUUCUGAACUGAGGGAGCUGUAUUUUUUUUCCAACAAAGUACUCCAUCUAGCAAUUCGGAAAGAGAAGCAAUCUGAUCCAAACAAUAAUCUGCCAAGUCAUCGUCGUUAUCUCACGGUAAUCUCAACUGAAACAACUCCUCUCUAGACACUGCUGUUGACUCCGCCGUUUUCUCAACCCACAUGGCUCUCGAAGCGCGCCUCCGCCUCCCGCUCGCGGGGCCAACUCCGGCCACCGCUUUCCUCUCAGGAUCCAACCCCAAACCCAGUCACAUAUCCUUCUCCCUCAAACCCGCCUCCACUUCUCUCUCCGCCGCCAAUGCGCCGCCGCCCAUCGUCGUCGUGGGCUCCGCCAACGCGGACAUCUACGUCGAGGUCGACCGUCUCCCUCUUGUCGGCGAGACGGUUGCCGCGAGUGCCGGUCACAGCCUCGCCGGCGGGAAGGGCGCCAAUCAAGCUGCCUGCGGGGGGCGGCUUGCGCUGGGGCCCACCUACCUCGUGGCGCGCGUGGGGGACGACGCCAACGGGCGCCUCCUCGAGGGGGCACUCGCGGACGCCGGCGGCGUCCGCCUCGACCGCGUCGCUCGCGCCCCCGGCGCGCCCUCGGGGCACGCUGUUGUCAUGCUCAUGCCCGACGGGCAGAACUCCAUCAUCAUCGUUGGCGGCGCCAACAUGGAGGGCUGGGCACCGGAGGUCGACCAGGAGGACCUGGACCUGAUCCGGCAGGCCGGCGUGCUACUGCUGCAACGGGAGAUACCCGAUUGGGUCAACAUUCAGGUCGCUCAGGUAGUUGCUCUAGCCCUUUCCGCUUAUAUACCCACUUUUGAGGUCACAUUAGAUUGAAUUUUAUGGUUCCUAAAAAAGAUGAAUUUUAUGAGGGUUGGAAUUCUUUCUCUGAUAAUGAAGACAUGAUUCAAUUGAAGUUCUAUUCUUUUUGUGCAUUUGGGUAAUUGCUUUCACUUAGUAUUUGGUUGAUUACUACUCCUAUAGUCCCUCUGGAGAUUUGCUAAUGGCUUCUGGCUUGGCAAUGUAAGGACACAUGAGGAGAAAAAAUAUUGUGGUUGUUAACUUAGAUUAUUGGGAAUGUUAAAAAAAAAUCUGACGUCAGAUUUUUAAGCAUGGCAAAUUAUGUUGUCGCGAGGAUGACAAUUUCCUGUAGCAAGUAUGGCAAAUCUUGGCAAAAAACUGAACAUUGCAAGGAUUUGCCAUGCUUGCUAAGGGAAAUUGCCAUCCUUGCGACAACAUAAUUUGCCAUCUCAGGUGUUCGAUUUGCUAUGCUAGAAAAUCUGACGUUCGAUUUGUAGAGAAAUCCUAGAUUAUUUUGUAUUUAUUGCAUUAGCACAGAUCAGUAGCUUGUGCUGCUGUGAAGCAAUAAUUCAUGUGUCGAAUGUUCUUAAUUAGUUGGAAUUAGCCCUUUUGAUUUAGUUAGACCUGUGAAUGUUUUGAUGUGUUCUCUUCUUUGGUUUGCGAUUCUGAUCCGGUGCCUUCAACUGGACCAAAGGAGCAACGAUACUAAUUUGUGAUACAUCAUGAACAUGACUUAGAUAUUCCCUGAGUGGAAUAUACAGUCUCUUUUAUUUGCCAAAUGUAGUGGCCAGCAUAUUUUCAAAUACGGUAAUUUGUGCAAAAAUGAUGGAACAAGAUAUAAAAAUAAAGAACUUUAGGUCUCUUAAAGGUUGUGGGAUUUUCAUAGGAAUAUUGCAGGAUUUUAAUCCUUAGGAAUUUCUCCAAUAACGGCCAUCUGGAUCAUAGGAUUGAGGUUCUCAAAAUUCGAUGAAAUGCAAUCUAAUCCCCCCUUCCAUAUGAAUCUUAACAUGAGCACAAACGUCAUUUUAUUUUUCCUUUCAGAAGUCCAAUGCUCUCUCGCUACAUUCCUCCAAAAUUCUCGUGUUACUUUCUUUUACACCAUCCAAAGGGGCAUUACGUGGAAAAUUUCUGUGUCCUGGGAUCUUGUAGAAAUCCAUAACACAUGACAUCUUAAUCCUGUGUUUCUCCUAUUCUUAUGUUUUCUAAUUCCUUUGAUCCAAAUAGGCCUUCUAACACUAUUAGUUAGUUUGAUUCAAAAGAUGAUUAGCAAAUGAAUGACAGAAGUGGAAGCAAAUCAUAGGAAAUAAUUUCUGACAAGUGACACAGUUAACGAUAUUUAGAAAGAAACAGUUGACAGUGACGCUGCAGGGCUGGUCAAAUGUGUGUCACUCCAUGACCCAUGCUCUCAAGCGUAACUACUCUACUACCUCUCUCCUAGAACGGGAUAGAAAAUGUGAGACUGGGUAGUCUCAUUAACUAACAAAAUGAAAAUAUGACAAGGUUAAGGGAAAAAAUAAGUAAAAGCAUUGAAUGGUUCCUCGUAACAAUGGGGUGAACAUGGCUAUGGUACAACUAUUAAGGGAAUAUAUAUGAUAACGUGAAAUAAAAGUUUAUUGUUGUAAUAAACUAAUAGCACAGAUGGAAACCAUAAGGUUAUUUUCGUUCUGUUAUUGUUGGGUAUGAUUUCUAAGAUUUUCCAGUCCACACUUUCUCCUCAAUCCUCGUUUAAAGGCCACUAAGAGUAGUUCCACACUAGAGCACUUGGCAUGGGUACUCGCACAUACACCCUCCGUCCGGAAAUACUUGUCCAAGGAAUGGAUGUAUCUAGAUGUAUUUUAGUUCUAGAUACAUCCAUUUGUAUCCAUUUCUACGACAAGUAUUUCCGGACGGAGGGAGUACUUUACUAGCACCGUGGUGUUGCCAUCUCUUGUUUCGUUUGUGAAUAUUUCAUUAGUUGAACAAUUAGACUGGUCAUGUCUGCGAAACUAUUUCAUUUUAUUUUCGUCUAUUGCAAUGGUGUUUGGUUCCAGUCUGCAACUCGGUAUGAAAAAGAAAAGAUGUUGAUGAAGUGGUGGCCAUUGUUGAAGAAGAGAGAAGUUGCAGUCCGGUAAGUUGCGUCACCGGAGGCAGCCAGCGUGACAAGAUGAACAGGUAGUCUUCUGCGUGUCUCGUUCGUGUAAAGAGUCGGAUGUUUGGAUUAGGGGGUGAAUGUUGGAGUAAUCCAAACUGAAGUUGUUCUAGUGCUAGUCCCGUUAGGAUUAGUACUAGGAUGCGACCAACGUGGCCGUAUAAUUAGAUUAGGAAAAAUACUAAGUUGAGUCCGGCUAGGACUUGGGCCUAGCUAUCUAGCUGCGUUGGUACGAGUAGUACUAGGUCUUCUUUAGGUAUAUGUGUCAGGAGUAUACCUAAGUCCAACGCAGCUAGAUAGCUAGGCCCAAGUCCUAGCCGGACUCAACUUAGUAUUUUUCCUAAUCUAAUUAUACGGCCACGUUGGUCACAUCCUAGUACUAAUCCUAACGGGACUAGCACUAGAACAACUUCAGUUUGGAUUACUCCAACAAAUGGCGUCCACGUAGUACCACAUCUAUUGUUAAUGGGUUGGGUGCUACAAAUGUUACCAAACAUCAACCCUAGGUACACAGACUCUGCGCGUGUGGCCUUGUAGGGGCUCACCGCACGAGGCAUCUACUGAGGAGCAUUUCGGGGCAGAAUGUUGCCAAGGUCGUCAUCCCUUUAGUAGUGUGUGUAGAGGGGAGGGGGUUGGGGUUACGCCCAACCCUUAGUGAUGCACUGCCAAUUUACCUCGAGUUAGAUUAGCAAAUAAUACAUGUUGGCCCGAAUAGUAGCACUUCCGGGUUAACGCUUCUGAAAUGAAGCUAGGGCUAAAACUCAAAACAAUUGCUACACAUGGGUGUGUGCCCCAGAGUGGAUUGAGGUCUUAGUGAAUUUGGCCUAUAGGGCAUUUUACACUAAAUCUCGUAAAAAAAUGAAGGUGCUUGCUGUCCAAUGCCCACCUUUUUCGCUUAAGUGAAUUUGUGUUGUGCUCUUGUCUUGCUGAACAGCUGAAAUUACUACUCCCUCCGUCCGGAAAUACUUGUCGAAGAAAUGGGUAAAAUGGAUGUAUCUAGAACUAAAAUGCGUCUAGAUACAUCCAUUUCUCCGACAAGUAUUUCCGGACGGAGGGAGUACUAAAAUUAGUAUUUAUUUUAUGUUUGAAAUUUUUGGUCGGAAUGAACCUUAUAUUGAUGCUCAUUUACAUUGCUCCUGAUAUCAAAUGAUUUUAGAGCAACAUAGUUUCAUGCAUGUUUGUUUGAAAUGACCAGCGUAUAAGUUAGGAUAGAUCAGGGACUAGAAUAUUUGGCCUACCUGUGAGCUCUUUCGGUCUGGCCCACCUGGCCUACCAGCGUAGAAGUUAGGAUAUAUCAGCGUAUAAGUUAAUUGAGCUGAUAUUUGGCCUACCUGUGAGCUCUUUAAAUCUGACCCAGCUACAAUCAGCGUCUGCCACAUGAGGCUCAUGCUUCUAAUCUGGAUUAUGAACAGAUAGUCCGCUCUAGCUACUUUAUAAUUUGUGGUUCGUCCAUACAGGAGGACCUUCAUUUCCUCUUUGACAGCUGCAGUCCUGUGUUACUUAAACACCUAACGGUUCAGCAAGGGCAAUCACAUUGCCAUCCACGACUUCAUUGUUCCUUUUGUCGAUCUGUUAUGGACAUCACUUUUUUUUUCUCGAAUGCGCAGGAGAGCUGUGCAUGAUUAUAUUAAGAAGACAACCAUGCUACAUAAGCCCUCGCCGAACAAAACUAGAGUACGGCCAUCGACCAAAUAAACACUCACGGUCAUAUGCUACUAAGGCCUUUGGCCCCCGCCAUAGCAUCUCUAAUGUCUUGCAUGAGAAUGUGUGUGUUGGUGUUGUUCUUGAACAAAAAAGGAAACAGUUUCAGCCUGAAAUCUUUAUUCAUUGGUUAGAAUUUACAGUAUGUUGCUGCGUGUUAGUGCUUAUUUACCUUUCCAUGGCCUGGAGGUGCCAAAGGCCUAUUUUUGUUUGACCCACUGAUUACUUGGUCUGACCCACAACAAGAGCUAAGGGCCAGUUCUUUUGAGGUGCAGCUUAUGCAUAAGCUGCGAUGGGAAUAAGCCUCACAGAAGCUGCCUUGGAAAUAAGUCCAUGAGAAUAAGCCAUCCAGUUCUUUUGGGCUUUUGGCUUAUUUUCACAAUAAGCUGAAAUAAGCUGCAAAAGAACUGGCCCUAAAUGCCAUCCUGGACUAGGUUUGUGGUCAGCUCAGACCCUCUGACAUAACAAGUUUUUGAAGUGGAAUCCGAGGAAAGUGGAAGCUUAACUCAGUGUGAUUUUUUAGUUCCACGCGGCCCUUUGUACCGACUUAUGCAUACGGUGUUUUACAAUAUUUACUUUGGCCCUAAACCAUUCAGCCGGCUCUGGUUUUUGCUAAUUAGAGGUUGUGGGCAAGUGGAAGGAGCAUCCAAAUAUCUAAUCUGUUUCACAGAACUCCAUAGAGACAAAAGAGCUAAGGCUUGCGGCUGUAAGAAGAACCAAUAUCUCAUCAAUAAGGGUUCGAUACUAAUCUGGCCAUGGAGAGGACAGCUAACUAUCAUGUGAAGGUAGCAAAUUUUGGAGAAACUUAGUUGUGUGUAUCUGUUAUAAUGGGAAAUGUGUAGUCUUUGAAUUUUUACUUUGUAUGUCUUCCCAUAUUGGAAGGCAGUCUUCUAAUUGCGUUCAGUAGAACCUUGACGCGUGGCUUACGUGCUGUCCAAGUUAUGCAACUGGAUAUGUAGCUUUAGGUAUUGUCUAAUAUAUAUCUGCUAAGGAGUAGGUGGCCUAUGUUAUUGGAAUUCAAAAGAAACUACAGUCAUGUAUCGUGACUUCAGAUAUAAAAUGAAGCAGCUUGUCAUUUGUUUGAGUUGCUUCCAUUUCAGUCUGAACUCUGAAUGUAAUGGUCCCUUUGUCUGUGUGAUUGAGUCCUCGGAGAAAAGCCUCCAGGAAAAGAGUUAGUGUCGCAGAUGGAAGGAUAGUUUUAUUUCUAGUUCUUGAUACCUCGAGCGUGAUUCCAUGCAGGUUUAUGUGAUUGCAAAAUCUCAUUAAAUGCGUGAUAAUGCGUUCUGUCUUUUCUAGCUAAUGAUCUUAAAGAUUCCAUUCAGAUCAAUUACCCUGUUUGCCAAAUAGUAUUAGUAUUUCAUGUUGACAUCCUUAUAUAACUGAAUUUUUAAGGUUGUGCCAGAGCAAGUCUAGUCUUGAUUAUGGUUUGUAUCUGUUGUGUAUCUAUACAACUGUGUAAAGUAGAUUGGAAAUGCAGGAACCACCUUGUGUCUUUCCCUUUUAUUCAUGUUAAGAUUACAGGGGUUCUUUUGUGGAAAAUUUCAAACUUUUGUAAAAUAGGUUGUUGGAAAUGCAGGAACCACCUUGUGUCUUUGCAUUUUAUGCAUGCUAAGAUUUGAGGGGUUCUUCUGUAACAAAAUUUCAAACUUUUGUUUCAGGCGGCAAAAGGUGCAGGUGUGCCUGUUAUUUUAGAUGCAGGUGGGAUGGAUGCUCCUGUCCCCAGAGAACUACUCGAACUGGUGGACAUUUUUAGUCCAAAUGAAACAGAGCUAGCACGUUUGACUGGGAUGCCUACCGAGACUUUUGAACAAAUCAGCCAGGCUGCAGGAGCAUGCCAUAAAAUGGUGAGUUGUCUAAAUCAGUUUUUUUAUGUAGUUUGUUUCUCUGCAUUUCUUCUAUAUUCAAUUAUAACUUCUAAGUUUGGCAACGAAGUUUUUAGAGAACCAUGGUAAUUGAAAACCACAGUAUUCAGAUGUGCACACAACGAAUACUACAGUUUCUUGAAACCAUGGUUUUUCUCAGUUUUAGCAAAACUACCUAGGUGUUUGGCUGGUGUUGCUAUACUACAGACCGAUUGUAACGCUGGGUGACAUCUGAAACUCACUGAGCUACAUGACCUAACGGCCGCCGGGUGCAUGCAGCUUCUACGCACAAGGUCAGCUCGUCCGCACCUAUGUAGCACAUUUGCGUACUGCUAUGCUAACUAGGCAGGCGCAAGAAACAGAUCGAUCAGCCGGCCUUCAAUGGCUGGAUUAAUUUAACCAUGGGGUGCAUGAUUAAUCAAGAGCCUGUGGCAACUUAAGUUCAUUAAUCAACUAGAUUGAAGUAAUACAAUCCUAGGAGCGUGUUGCUAUCAUAUGUCUAUACGUGCAUGUACUCUGGGAGGCGGACCAAAAUUCUUUGUGCGUGUACGAUGCGCCAUUUAUACUGAAUCGGCUACCUAGCAUAUAUAUCCGGUUGCAUACAAGUGUUCUUCUAAAGGACCAAUCGAUCUAAUCAGUGCGCUACUAGUCCGAAAUUAAUCGACAGCUAAGGACUCCAUGGAGAAGCGUGCAAGAUCACUAGAAACUAAUCAGUGUUGUAAUCCCAUGCAGCGGCGUCAUAUCUAAUAUAUAUGCCACCCCUUGUAGCAGUCUUGCAAUCAGACUGGACAGAUGGAGGAAAAUUAGGAGACGAUCGCAGCUAAUAUUCUUAUCUCAACGUAGAUGGCAACGUGAAGUGCACUUUCUCUCUGUUCUGUUUAGAAAAAAGAGGUCUAGACCACUUUUUCAAAUACUUUGAAAAUACCACAGUUUUUAUAAUACUCCCUCCGUUUUUAUUUACUCUGCAUAUUAGAGUUGACUGAAGUCAAACGUCGUAAAGUUUGACCAAGUUUGUAGAAAACAAUAUAGACAUUUAUCAUAAUAAAUCUAUACGAUGUGAAAGUACAUUCAAUAAUAAAUCUAAUGUUGUUGAUUUGUUAUUGUAUAUCUUAAUAUUUUUGUUUAUAAACUUGGUCAAAGUUUGUAAAGAUUGACUUUGACCAAAGCUAAUAUGCGAACUAAAUAAAAACAGAGGGAGUAUUAUGGUUUACAAAACUUCAGUUUUUGUUGAAGCCAAACACAUCAAAGUAUUCAAAACCAAGUUUUUUUCCAGAAACCACGGUAUUCUAGAAAAACUACAAAAAUACUUUGCAUCCAAACGCACCCCUAAUUGUUGCUCUUUUGUUUCUUUUGAUUAGCCAUGACUAGAUCUUAAUAUCUUUAUUUAAGAAACUUCAAUUAAUGAUGUUGUGUUAUGGCAUUUAUCUGAUAAUAGCCAUCUCUAAAGAAUGUGUUGCUUUCCUUCCAUUCUCCCUUCGCGUAGGUCUGUGCACGUGUGUUUCCCGUACACCUAUUAGGAGUGUUGACUCUUACUGUUCUAUACAAGUUUUCAAGUUAACACUCCUAUGUGCUGUCCAAGUCUGCGUACAAGUGAAAUUUGCGAUUUGCAAAACUGUACAAACUUUGGAUCUUUAGUUCCUACCUGCAAAUCGGCUGCUAGUUACACAAAUUAUCAUAAUUCAGCAAGCUCCUGUAGUCAUUUAUAGUUUUGUACACUUUGGCUACUCUGUGAUAGUGGUCCAACAAGUACUUUUCGUGAAUGGCAGUGGGGAGCUGCUUGAAGCGAAUUACAAAUUAAGUACACAGGAAAGAGUAAUCAGUUAAAUUUCUUGUGCUCAGCGACGUGUUGGAGGGGGCAUGGCCCUCCCUGGUAGGCCCUAAGCAUGAGGAACGGCCCUAAGCUAUGUAGUUGUAAUAAUUCUUGCAUGUGUACAAGAAAACAGAUUUUUUGUAUCUCUAACAAACCGGCAGAGCGUACGUAUGCUAUUUUGAUUUGAAUGCCAAUCCCAUGGCAGUGGCUUGUAGAUAACAUUGGUAGUGCAAUCUGAAAAAUAACAACAGCAUCUGAUCACAGAAUGGCCAUUCGCCAAAAGUUCAGAAUGUGUUCAUAAUCAAGGUUGGCCCAUGAAAUCUUUGUGCUUAAUUCACUGGAAAAUCGGAAAAGCAAUAUCUGAUGUUUUUUGUUUGAUGCUGUCUGGUCUGAUGCCAUAGCAUAGAUAAGUCUAAUUGCUUCUUGUGUGUCCAUAGCCACAAUUUUAUGGCAGGCAGUGUAUUUGUCAGGAUAUUUUUUUUUGAAACUGGGCAAAAGAUUUGCCACUUUCAUUGAUUAAGAAGGAGGUUUAGAGUUUUGGCCACAGGCCGAAUUACAAAGACAUCACUCUCGCGGCACUACUGUACUCAAAUAUUUUGCCCCUGCAAGGCACCAAGAACCCCAACCGGCACCGCGGUGUUACGGAAGACGCGUGCAUUCCUCUCGUUCCAAAUUUCCCAUGAGAUCAACAUAAUAAGAGACAUCAUCGCCCGUCGAGACUGUGAUGCGUUGGAGUCAAUGAGAUUCCACCAGGCUUUCACCGAAUGGACCGUCACCCAAGCUGUAGGGUUCACAUCAACCAAGCCAAGCCAAGAUUUGAUCAUUUCCCAAACUCGGACCGUGUAGCGGCAUUGGAAAAGGAGGUGAGCCGCGGUUUCCUGAACUUGCUUGCAGAGGGGGCAGCGAUCACAGUUAGGCCAUCCACGGCGUUGGAGCCUGUCGGCCGUCCAUAUCCUAUUGUUGAUCACAAGCCAAGCAAAGAAUUUGCAUUUGGGGGGAGCCCAGAUCUUCCACACCAACUGUUGCAUGUUGGAGUCAACUAAGCCCAGGAACUGGACCUUGUAGGCCGAGGACGCGGAGUAAGAGCCAUCAUUAGAAAGCUUCCAAGAGAUAGAAUCAGCCACGUCGGGGUUGAGUUGCACCACAGAUAAUUUCUCCCAAAGGUUGACGAACUCGGUCAGGUUUGUAGCGGAGGUGAUCCCAUCUGUUUUGACUUGAGAGACCCAGAAGUUAUUAUCCAAAGCCUUCUGAACCGAACAUCCCCUUCUUUUUGAUAGGUCAAAAAUCUUCGGGGCGAUGUCUUUGGGUCUCAUGCCAUCUAGCCAAGCAGACUCCCAGAAGGAAGCACGAAUACCGUUGCCAAGCAACACGUUGGUGGCAGCAGCAAAAAUGUUUUUAUCAUUCUCAUCACAGGGGUUGCCCAAGCGAACCCACGGCUUCACCGGAUCCAACCAUUCUGCCCAAAGCCAUCGGAUACGAAGCGCGGACGCAAACUUCCUCAUAUUUAGGAUACCUAGCCCCCCAUGGGCCUUGGACUUGCAGACCUGUUCCCAGUUGAUCUUGCAUUUGCCACCGGUGACCUUGUCACAACCAGCCCAAAGGAAAGCACGCCGAAGAGAAUCAAUCUUUUCCAGAACCUCAAUUGGAAGGUUUAACGCUGUCAUAUAAUAAAUGGCAAUGGCCGUGAGGACAGACUUGAGCAACCAUUAGCAUGCCCAACCAUGGAGAAAUCUUGGACGCAAUCUUGUCCUCCAGGGGCUGAAAGUGAAUCCUACUCAACCUCUUGACCGACAAAGGCAGCCCAAGAUACUUCAUCGGGAAGGUAGAUCGGUUAGCCGAGAAGGGAUGCAGAAUAUCAUCAAGGUCCAAGUGAUCACAUCUGAUGGGGGCAACCAUGCUUUUAGAGCAGUUUGUGAUCAGGCCAGUGACCUCACCGAAACAGGCAAGGGUUUCCGCAAAAAAUUUGACCUUGGAUUUAAUUGGCGCAAAAAAGACCGCAGCAUCGUCCACAUAUAAGGAGGCACGGAUAACCAUCGCAUUUCCAUCAAGAGGGUGCAACUUGCCUUGCUCAGUGGCCUUUUGAAGGAUAUGAUGCAGAGGGUCAAUUGCAAGCACAAAGAGGAGGGGGGAGAGGGGGUCCCCCUGUCUGAAGCCACAACCUUGUGAUAUUGGACAUCCAGGAACACCAUUGAGAAGAACCCUCGACGAGGCAGUAGACAGGAGGGCCGAGACCCAGCCUCGAAAGCGAGGUGGGAAGCCCAGGUGGUUCAGCAAGUCGAGGAGGAAGUCCCAUCUGACCGAGUCGAAUGCCUUUUUGAUAUCAAGCUUGAAGAGCAGAGCCGGGGUUUUUCUGCGGUGAAAGCGUCGGGCCAGGUUGCGAACGUACAUAAAGUUAUCAUGGAUACAUCUUCUUUUGAUGAAGGCGCUUUGAGCUUGGGAAACAAGGUCAUUCAUGUGGGGAGCCAAACGGUUGGACAUGACUUUGGCGAUGAUCUUCGCGAUGGCAUGAAUCAGACUAAUGGGGCGAAAGUCAGAGAUGUCUUCAGCACCAUCCUUUUUCGGAAUAAGGGCGACAUCCGCAGUGUUCAACCAGUGCAAAUGGGAGGCACGGAGAUUUGAGAACCGGUUUAUAGCCAGCAUGACAUCAACCUUAAUUAUGGUCCAACAAGAUUUGAAGAAGGCCCCGGUAAAGCCAUCCGGACCCGGUGCCUUAUCGCUUGGCAAUGAAAAAACUGCGGUUUUGACCUCCUCCUCGGAGAUGGCCUCAUCCAACUCAUGAAGGUCGCAGUCUGGAAUAGGAAGAAUGUCCCAGUUGAUAUCUGUUUUGCGCGCGGGGCCUUUUUUAGUGAUGUUCUUGAAGUGACAGUGGAUAAUGUUCUCCUUAAGCUUGUGUUCCGUGACCCAGCCACCGUUGUGCUUGAGGCGGUGAAUGAAAUUUUUUCGCCUACGAUGGUUGACCCGCAAAUGGAAGUAGCGGGUGUUAGCAUCUCCUUCUUUCAGAUUAGUUAUCCUUGAAUUUUGCCUCUUUCUUGAUUUUUCCAAAACAGCCCACCCAAUGAUCUUCCUCUUUAACCUUCUUCGAAUAUCACAUUCAUCAUGGGAGAGUUCUCUAUGUUCCUGGGCCAAAUCGAGACGAAGGAUCACCUCGAGAGCCAUGUGAAGCUGGAUCUUUGCGUUUGAGAAAAGAGACUUGCUCCAGGAGCGAAGUCUAGCAGUUGUAGUCUUUAGCCUGUGGAAAAGCCUUUGGUAUGGCUCCACAUGAAUGGAGUCCUCAGCCCAAGCAUCAGCGACAACCUUUUUGAAUCCGGGCAUCUUAGUCCAGUAGUUCUCGAAGCGGAAGGUUUUGGGUUUCCGCGGGCCAUCGUCAUUAGCCAAUAGUAACGGGCAGUGGUCAGAGAGCGAAGAUGAUAAAGCAUGCAGAAUAUGGGAGCCGAACUCGAUAUCCCAGUUAUCGUUGCAGAAGAAUCCGUCGAGUUUACACAAUGUUGGAUUAGAGCGCUCGUUGCUCCAAGUGAACUUCCGGUUCUGAAGAUGAAUCUCUUUUAGUCUGCAAUUUGCAAGAGUGUUUCGAAAACGCACAAGACGGCUACGGUCAACAUUAGCUCGGUUUUUGUCUCUAGCACGGUAAAUUUGAUUAAAGUCUCCAUUGACAAGCCAUUUUGUUCCAUCAGGCGGCUUCUGGGAGGUAAGCUCGAGGAAGAAGUCGUCUUUGUGGAUGCUUCUGGUAGGUCCAUAGACCGUGGUUAACUUGAAAGUCUUUGCAUCUGAAGCAUUGUUGAGAGCAACCGUAGCAGAAAGAAAGUAUGUGCCAUACUGAACACUUGAGAUGGUUACCACAGAGUCGUCCCACAACAGUAAGAUUCCACCUCUAGUUCCAUCCGCCGGUCUGUGUGCGAAGUUCUUGAGGCGGUAUCCUCCCAGGUAGGCAGCCAUAUGAGGGUCGAUGGUCUGGAGUUUGGACUCCUGGAUGCAAACUAGAUGGCAGGAGGAGGCAGCAAUUGUUUCAUGGACGACGGACUGGCGAUCUGGACAGUUUAGACCACGAACAUUCCAGCACAAUAUAGCAAGGUUUUGUUCUAACAUGAUUGCACAAAGAUUACAUCAGUACAGUGCUCAAGGAACCACAACGACAACAAUGGUCUCGCCAGGACCAGCAAAGGCAGCACUAUGAUGCUGCAAACAGGCGUACAUCUAGCAAAAUUCAGUUCAACUAUCAUCAGGAAACUAAGCUACAACUAAGUAGCAAAGCUCAGGCCUCAGCCGCGGCAGCCUCGCUUGAGUCGGGUCCUCCUUCGCCUCCAUGCUGCAUCAGGGCUUCUUCUACCGCUGAGAAGAGAUCACAGUCCAGCUGGAAUAAAGCACGCAAGGCCGCGACAGCAAUAUCAGGGAGACGCCCUUGAAACAUAUCGGCAAACUUAGCAAUUGCCGUCUCUGUGACCUGCUCCCCAUCAGCAAGCACCCCCAUGCGUUGACACAGGAGUUGUUCAGCGAGCCUCGCAAUGGGCAUCGUCCUCUUCUUAGCACCAAGUCUGGGACUCUGACGCGGCAGUUGAAAGCCAGUGACUCCAGCCAUCGUCUUUCGGCGAGCGGUAGGACGUCUUGGAGGUGUCGAUCUUGGUGGGGGAGAUGGUAGGAGCGCUGGCAUGCGAGGGAUAAAAAUUGGAGUGGCAAUCUCUCUUUCUUCAACCGCAGCUUCAAGUUGGACAGUGGAGGCAUCAUGGAUUGGUGUUUGAUCUGAGCUAUCACCGUGGUUAUCAUCUUCAUGCGCAACUAUCUCAUCUUCAGGUUGAGCAGGAGACAUCACUGUAGUGUCAAAUUCCCUUUCUUCAACUUCGGCUUCAGGUUGGACAGUGUAGGCAAACUGGGUUGGUGUUUGAUCUGGGCUGGUACUAUGCUUUUCUUGAGCUUCAUCUUCAAGCACCACAAGCAAAUUUUUUAUUUGAGCAGGAGAGUGAGCAUUGCCUUGUGGGAGAUCAAAACUGUUACACUUGUUACGAUCUUCAGGACCAACUUCAAGGCAUGGUGGAGGUGUUUCCAUGGCAAAAUCAGACGUUGGAGUUGGGGUGGCCAACACAAACUCCGGUGUAACCGUGCCAUGCUCUUCACCAAGUGUCACGGAGGGUUGGAUCUUAGAAAUUCUGCUAGCAGUACCGCAGAGCCAUCCUAGACCACGCCCAGCAGUGUUGAUCUCGAUCACGUCGCUGGAGGUGGUGGUACGCGGGGAGGGCGGCAGUGAGCGUCCACGGCUCACCGUCCUGCACCCCUCAGACGAGACCUCCCUGGGAGGGUCGCACGCCCGGCGUCGACCGUCACGCCCGCGCUCUUCGCGCCCACGAUCAGCGCCGCGGUCAUCACGGCGUCCAUCAUCACGGCGCUCAGGAGCCCGUGAACGACUGCGAAAGAGGCCCCGCCAGGAGGAGGACCGCGGUCUGUCGUUGUCGCGUCCACGCCUGUCCUCCCUGUCACGAUCGUCAUCGCGUCGGUGCCGAUCAUCGUCAUCUCGGCGUCGAGGUGGAGGUUCAUGGCGGUCCCUUGCCCUGACCUCGCCGUCCACCACACCAUAGCGCCAGGUGAAGGGGUCUGUGCGUGGGCGGCGAGGGAUGUUUCCAGCGGCGUCGGGGGUGUAGUGCUCUAGCUUGUCAAGGUGCACGAUGGCGCGGCGACGAAGGCCAGCGUGCCCAAUGGCCGAGGACGGAGCUCCACCCACCCCAGUGGCCAUCCGGGGAGCGAUGGUGACAAGCUGCACCUUGGGGAUAGCUGAUGGAUUCGCUGACCAAACCCACAGCUUGAGGCAAGAGGCAUCUUCUUGCCGCAGCGUAGCGAUGUCGAAGUAGUGGAGGAAGGUAUCCGGACCAAGCACUUGAGCUGCCACGGCUUCGGACCAAGCAUUCAGGGGAAUGCUCUCGAUGCAGAGGUGGACAUGGUAGUUUGCCCGGACCACGUCGGCGUGAGCGUCAAGGCGCCAGUUGGUGGAGUGCAGGUCCAGGCCGUUGUGACGGAAGCGCCCCUCCGUCGUCACCCUGUCUCGCUGAUGCUGAUAGUCGAACACGGCGAAGAAAUCUUCAGGAAAGUGGGGAACGACCUUGACAUCUCUGAUCCCGAACUGCAUGUCGAUGGCUUCCUUGAUCUCAGCAGCGCUCACCACCGGUCUUGUACCGCCAAGCCAGAUGAGGGCGCCCAGGGAUGCAAGGGACGCCGCAUUAGCAUCCAUCUCCUGGGUGGAGACGAUGACCACACGGCCCUCCUCAGGCCGCAGCGACGGAUCGCCAACGCGGAGCGGCUGCCUUGACAUGGCGCGCGGCGGCGGCAGCGAAGCAGGCGAUGCAGAUCGAGGCGUGGCCGCCGCAGGAACCACCAAGGGGGUAGCAGAGGAAGGCGAGGUUGAUGCAGGGGACAAAGGGGAGGGUGAUGGGUCGUUGGUGCAGCCCCUCGCCCUGUGUCCGAUUCUUCUACAGCGACGGCAAGUGAACGGAUUGCGGCAGUCCACCUUACAGUGGCCUUUGAGGAGGCAGCGAUGGCAUUCGCGGUCCUGGAGCCUGACGAAAUCCUUCGUCCGCUGUGGAGGGGAAUAAGAGGAUGGGGCUUUGCGACUUGAAUGCCGGUUGUUGGGACGACCUUCACGCCACCAGUACGCUGGACGCACCAAAUGCCAUUCAAGAGCUGAGGAGACCUGUCUUGAAUUCUCCUCUGAAGGCGUAGGGCUCGAGGGCGCGCUGCAGUUCGCACGCCGAGCAGCAGCCUUGAAUGAAGCCGCUGGGGCGGACUUAAGGCAUGGCCGGUGGGCGCCAUGAAUCGGGGGAGGCGGCGUAAACUCCAGGAGCUCUGCAUUAAUGGCAAAGCUUACUUUGUGGGGCAGCUCGGCCUCCUCUGGAGCGCCCGCAGAGGCCUCGGCAGGGGCCUGGACAGGCAGGGACCGCAGAUCUGGGCGGACUGCGACCAGCUGGGGGAAGAUGGAUGCCACCAGAUCCGGGCGCAGGAACCGCGGGGACGGGAACCCCGGAGGGAACCGAGGGGAGGGCGAGGCUGAGGAGGCGUUGGGCGGGGAGGCCCGAGCUGUAGCGGCUGGAGCAGCGGCGGCGGAGGUGGCUGCGGGCGCCGGAGUGGCGCGUCGCAAGAGGGUGGGCGCUGGAGGCAUCUUCCGUGUUUGUCAGGAUAUUGAAGUAAGAAAAGAAGUGUAGCGCAUAAUUGAUAUAUUUUCUUCUUUUUACAGUCACAAAGCGAUGAAGUUGCAGACGUCUGUGUUGUUAUAUGUUGAUAGCAUUUGCCCCUAUUCCCACUUCAUGGCUUUCCAUUACCAUGUUUCAACAGUAUAUGGGCUUCAUAUUCCACUUUAAGCUGCCAGUACGAGGAUUUGAUUUACAACUAAUUGUUUCCUGUCAAUUCCCUGUUUUUGUUUACCUUAUAUUGUGGUUUCUUUACGAUAACAUGUUCAAAUUGUACUCUUUUGUUUGCUAUAAAGGCUAGCAGUUCCACUUGAUAUAUUCCAUCGGCGAGAUGCAUUGCUAUUUAAAUCUUCUACGGAAGCUCUGAAUGCAUUGAACCUUAUGGUAGGAGGACAUUGAUGCUAUUUCCUGCAUGCAGGGUGUGAAAGAAGUUUUGGUUAAACUUGGGUCACAAGGAUCUGCUCUGUUUGUGGAGGGAGAGGAGCCAAUUAGGCAGGCGAUAAUACCCGCCACAGAAGUAGUAGACACCACCGGCGCUGGUGACACCUUCACCUCAGCUUUUGCUGUAGCUCUGGUGGAGGGGAAGCCCAAGAAAGAGUGCAUGCGAUUUGCUGGUACUAAAAGCACGCUCCAGUCAAAUUGUUGGUUCUGAUCUAUUGUUGACAUGUUGAUUUGAGUUUCUUCUUCUUCUUGCAUUUCAGCUGCCGCUGCCUCACUGUGUGUUGGAGUGAAGGGAGCCAUUCCCAGCAUGCCUGACAGGGAAACCGUGAUGAGCCUUCUAGAAUCUGUGCAAGCUGAAUAACCGGAGAAACGGUGACUUUACCCUAUUCAUCAGCAAUAAUGUGAGCUGUUAAGCUUCAAUCUCCUCUUUCGGUUCAUUUAUUUCGGGUAUCUAUAUAUAUUUGUAGCCCCGUAAGUUAUGGUAGAGGAAAUAAGAGAAAAUGCCAUUCCUCGCGCCGCCCUCCGUAGAAACAGAAACACUGGUUCAGGAGUUCUAGGUCUGCUGUUUUUAUAGCCAUUCCCUGUUGCUAUGCCAUAGCUUUUUCUAUUGUUAUUAGGCAUCGCCCGUUAUCCUUCUCGACCUAAAUUUUUCCCGUUGUUAGAAGUCAUUAAACUUCACAAAACCGCCAUGCCCUGAAUGCAGGAAUUGCUUUUGCUGUGAAACACUGGUGACGGUGAAGGGGGUUAGUAAGGUGUCACUGUCUGGCUCAAAUCUAACAAGCAUUCCUUUGGCAGGAUCGGCUAAACAUCCGACGGAGCUCCCCCGGAACCCUCGUGUGCUGCCCCCGGCCCAGUAACGUGCUAGUUAGUGGUGGUCUCUAAAUGGAAACGCAUUUUCCGGGGCCUAUGCCGAGCAAAUCCCGCACCCUCGAAAUAAAAAAGGACACCUGAAUGGUUUCACUUCAGAGAGAUAGAAUGAGCAGUUUCAGGUUUGGCCUGGCGCUGAUGAGCUUUCCGAACUCCGACGGCGACUCCGGCACGGGUCAAUUCAUGAUCUUAUUGUUAAGCCGGGCCGAUGUUAACCGCUCGCUGCUAUCGACGGCCAUCAUCCGUCUUUUUCGAUCCAGUCGUGGCCCGCUGCCGAUCGCCGUCGCGCAGGCCCAUCGGCGCGGUUCACUCCCUCUCACCGCCAACGGUGAAAGAUCUCGCCGCUGCACCGUCGCUGCCGGAGAAACGACGCAUGCCUCGACUGAUUGACUGCUCCUAGCUAGUAAGAUCGUCCAGAAUCCAGUAGCCCAGCAACGUUUUUGCAGCUUCCGGGGGAUCUGAUCGUAUCUGAUGACGUACGCGUCGUCCGUCCGUCGAAUCGGACGUUCGAUGUGCCUCGCCGUACCCGUACGACGCCGACGGCCGGCAUUUUCUCGACGAGCCCACCGACAGCAAACGUUCCUCACGGCCUUCUGUUUUUCCUCCUCCUCCCAACUUCCUUCCCUUGUCUCGCUUUCCGGGAGUAUUCCCGGAAUGACCGUCCUUGGGAGGGAGAUAAUAAUAAUAUGUUUGUGUUUGUGGCUACUGCUGUGACGGAGCCAUCGCACGGCCGCUCGCCAUUAAGCUCGUCCGGGACGGUACCGCGGCCGAUGGCGUCGUGGUGGUGGCGGAGGCGGCCACUUUGAGUCUUCCUCAAGGCUGCAACCUGAAACGGAACCAACGGAUGGAUGGGUGGAUGGAUGGAUCGCUCAACAAAGGCGACGUCGCUUUCGCAGAUGGCUUAGCAAUCCAGCUUCCUCUCGCUAUGCAACACCGUCCGGAUAGUUAAUGCACGUGUCUUGUCACGUCUAAUGAAUCAUAUAUAUAUACCAAAGCUACCACACACACACGCACAUGCUUCCGUGCCGCGAUCACAUACAUACCUCUGCAGCAGACAGCAGUAGCAGCACGAGAGUAGGAGUAGUACUAUACGGGUGACCAAGGGGAAAGACAUACUUGACCGUAGCAGAGAUGUACGUAGGUCCAUCUCGAUCUUCUCGGAUAUCGAUCCCACUGGCAUUUUCUCUUCUUUUUGCAUGACUCAGGGCAGAGUCAGAGUCAGAGUCAGAUUGGCCGGGCCGGUCAAGAAGUGCGAUGCGAGACCGACCUUCCUUUCUAGCAGAGCAGCCGCCGGCCAUGUCGUUUGGAAGUAUGCAGCGGGGCGAUGGCCGGAGUUAUAACGGUGGCCUUGACCUCCCUUGCGUUCAAAGCUACUCCUACAUGCCUCUGUCCAACCAGUUUGUUCAAGCUAAGCCAAUCAAUGCACGACGUGACGCCUGCGGUCCAUCCUGCCUGCUCCCUUUUUUAUACUGUACCCCUCAAAUAAUUCUCAACUUACCCCCAUACCGUUCCGUUACACACGCAGGAAAUGUAUAGUCGGUUUCGCUUUGCGUAUACGAUCUCUGUACGAUAGUAAAAUCCUGCAUCCAAUAUUGAUCUGCCCACUUGAUCCAAGGCUGAUGGACUAGUGUUGUACGCCCAUCGUCUGAAAAUUCGUCGUACGUGUAGCGGGGCUCAUGGUCAUGGACAAAAGAAGACCAAGAUAACUCGCAAUUUAGCUAGUCCCAAGAUUCAAGUAUUUGAUCAACAGCCAGAGCAUAUUACUUUGGAAAAGUACAUAAUAGUGAAUGGUAUUGAGCGAAUGUUUCCUGGGAGUGGUUUUUAGGAAAGGCUCUUUUGAGAGUCCAACCCCGUGCGCAAAUCUCAAAGCGAUCACAACGUAGCAAUCCCCGUUUGCUUUCAUGCCUCCUCCUGAGCAAACGAUGUAAACCUUCUCUCUCAUGCAUCCUCCCUAACGAAUGGUGCCGUGUGUAGCAUGGCACUCCCCUAACUAUGAGUAUUAUGUCAAUUACUGGAAUUAUUAUGACAACUUCUCUGCGUAGCAUGACAAUUUCUGAACAUGUGCGCAACUUUCCCUUUUCUUAGCCUGCCAAUUCUCUCUUUGCAGCAUGGCAAAACCCUGAAACGCAUGGCAAUUUUCUCUGUUACAACGUGGCAAAUCCCUAAAACGUAUGACAAUUCGUUCUGCUAUAACAUGUCAAUUAUCACGGCAAAUCUAUCUGCCAUAGCAUGGCAAAUCUCUCUAUUAUAGCAUGCCAAUUCCUAAACAUUCCCUGGGAGUGAUCUCUUGAGGAACACUCUUUGAUCGAAUGAGCCUCCCAGAGUGAAAGAUCGUUCGCGCCAGGAGGGCACGUUAGAAUCACAAAAGUAAUACCAUCGUUUUUGUUUUUUCCACGGUACUAAUUUCCCAUCGCCGUUUAGUUACUUUUGUAUCAGAACACCUGCAUUUUAUUUGUCGGUUCUGGUCAAGCUUGAAUGGUAUCUUAUAAAUAUAAAAAAAACAGGAGGAAUACGAAUUAAUCCUAAUUAAAAUUGUGAAAUUCUUUAGCCAAGAACUGAUCAAAGCAGUACAGCUAGUGCUCACCAAAUUAAUACUAUACACCUUUCUCCGGUGAGUAUUAUAUUAUGUUACUGUAUGUGCUCCUGCUCAAGUUGGACAUCAAGAAGGCUUUUGAUUCAGUUAGAUGGGAAUAUCUUCUCGACCUAUUACAGAGGAGAGGUUUUCCUUCGAGGUUUCGUGAGUGGAUCACGACCCUUCUUCGGACAUCUACAUCGAGGGUUCUUCUCAACGGUGUUCCUGGCAAUCCUAUCCAGCAUGGGCAGGGCCUCCGGCAGGGGGACCCAGUGUCUCCCCUUCUGUUUGUCCUUGCUAUUGACCCCCUUCAGCAAAUCUUGGACGUGGCAACAGAGAAUGGAGACCUACACAGAUUACGUGGCCGUGGUGCCCGCCUUCGCACCUCCCUAUACGCGGACGACGCUGCCAUAUUCUUGGUGCCUAUCAAGGAGGAUGUGGAUAUGCUUGCCACCAUACUUCAAAGCUUUGGAAACGUCACCGGCCUAGUUACGAACAUUAACAAGAGUUUGGUGGCCCCUAUUAGAUGCUCCAAUGUCGACCUUGACAUGAUUCUGGGUGCCUUCCCAGCAGUCAGAGCUCAGUUCCCCUUGCGAUACCUCGGCCUUCCGCUAUCCAUUCAUCGUUUGCGGGUUGUCGACUUCCAGCAUUUGCUUGAUAAGAUUGCUGGAAAGAUCAUGAUUGGCCAGGGAAAGUACAUUACGAUGGCUGGGAGGAGCACGUGGGUAAAGUCAGUUAUCACUUCGCAGGCCAUCCACCAUCUCACUUCGCUUGUGGUGCCCAAAGGAAUGAUGGCAUCCAUCGUCAAGCUGCAACGGGCUUUUCUUUGGGGAGGCACGGAUAAAGUUUCUGCAGGCAAAUGUAAGAUAAGAUGGGAGAAAGUUUGUACGCCCAAGGACAUGGACGGCCUAGGCAUCCUGGACAUGGAAAAACCCGCACGUGCCUUAUGGCUUAGAUGGCCUUGGUUGGUUUGGAAGGACGCGGAAAGAGCUUGGGUUGAUUUGGGGCAUCCGUGCGAUGAAGAGGACAUGGCGCUGUUUUAUGAGUGCACUUCCAUCACUGUUGGCAACGGGCAAAGGGCCUCUUUCUGGCACUCCCCUUGGCUUGGGGGUCGCAAGCCAAAAGACAUGGCUCCCUCCAUUUUUGCAAUUUCCAAACACAAGAAUGACACCAUCCAUAGGGCUUUGGAUCUCAACAAGUGGAUUGCCAACAUCAACACAAACUCUGGGCUCACAAUUCAGCACAUCCUUGAAUACUAUGAGCUUUGGGUUGGAUUACGAGAGGUCUUCUUUGAUGAGGGGGUGGAUGAUGAGAUUGUUUGGAAGCUUUCGCCUUCCGGUGAGUACACGGCAUCGUCGGCUUACAAAGCUCAACUCGACGACUCCACUACAUCGAAAAUGAAGUCUGCAGUGUGGAACAAUUGGGCGCCGCCAAAGCAUAAAUUCUUCGCUUGGCUUAUCAUUCAAGACCGUGUUUGGACGGCGGACAGGCUUCAACGGAGAGGAUGGCCAAAUUGCGGCCUAUGCCAGUUAUGCAAGAGGGAGCCAGAGACGGCGGCACACAUCAUCUUCCGCUGUCGAUACACGGUACGCAUUUGGACGAAGAUCAAGACUUGGAUGGGUUUGACUGAUGUGGACAUCAUCGACUGGAGUAACUUCAACAGCGUCAACGAUUGGUGGCAUCACAUGGUAGGCGUCAAUGGCAAUGUGAGAAAGGGCCUCGCAUCUCUCGUCAUGUUGGUUUCAUGGGAGAUUUGGAACGAGCGGAAUGCGAGAGUAUUUAGGAUGGUGUCCUCCAUGCCAAAUGUAAUCACGUCUAGAAUCAAGGCGGAGGUCAGACUUUGGGGGUUGGCAGGGACCAAACGGCUGAGUUCUUUUAUGCCACGAGAGUAGGCUUAUCGGUUUCGGGCGUCUACGGGCGGUCGGUCAUGUAAUUCAAAACUCUUCUUAAUUAAUGAGACGAGGCAAAUUUUUUGCCUCCGUUUUGGAAAAAAAAUGUUACUGUAUGUUGUAUUGGUGUUGACGUACACGUCUAUUGGAUGUGGACUUUGAACACGAGUCUACGCCGUAGAAUUUAUAUUUUGUGCCGGAGAAAAAGAAACGCUCCAUCGUAUCGCGGCAUGCAAGUUGGUGCACACCUUGCACCUUGGCCUUUAAUGCUUUUGACCUUCUAGACUAGUAGCUAGUCCGGUUCUGGUAGCUAUCAGCAGUUCAGCACUGCCCAAUGUUGCGUCCCAGGACUUCCAACCUGAUUAACCUGCUGGACCAUGUCUAAACAUAUUAUAAUACUACCCAAAAAAAAGCAUUCAUCAAACCCCAAAAGGGCAAAAGUAAUACUACCAUGAAUUAUGCAUAUACUGUUAGUUUCUCUUGCCUUCACAACACCAGUUCAUCGAUCAACAAGUCCGGAAUGGAAAACGUAGGAAGUUAACAAAGCUUAAUCAGUGACACUUAUUUUGAGACGGAGAGAGUAUUAGUUUGUCUUGGCCUCACAAUACCAGUUCAUCAAUCAACGCGUCCGAAAUGGAAGAGAAAGGAAGUUAACCAAGCUAGACAGAUUCAAGAACAGUGCAUAUCACAUGUAUGAUCUCAUUGCUCCGAAGAGCGCUGCAAUUGCACUCUCUCGUAGUACAAGAGGUACAUACAAAUGAAUGAGGAUAUGGAUGUAACUGGUCCACCAUCUUCUUGAUUAACUGGCUGGGAGUAAAACAAAGGCAGGGAGCGAUCAUGCCAUGGCUUUGACGAUUUCUUGCACUGUGUCGAUAUACACACUGUGCAAGCAUCUUAGCCCAGCCGAUUAAUUGGAUGGCCACCAAAGUAGAUUUCCUCUCGAUGGACAACCUUUAAUUAAACAAACAUGAAUUCUGUCACAUGUGUAUUAAUGUUUCUUCCUAGCUAGACAAGUUUGCUAAAGCUAAAGGUACUGGUACUUCUAUCCCAGUGGGUUAGAAAGAAUCUGUGUGCUUGAGACUGUACUAAUCGUCCUCAGCUAGCUAGAGUAGUAGAGUACAAAGAGCCAUUUAAAGUGUAUGUGUGUGUGUGUGUGUGUGUGGCUAGCUGAAAUAUUUGACUUUCUACAGCUACAGGGACCAAAUUUUAAGCUACAUACUAGUACAUCAGAAUCGACCAUGCAUCCAAUUUGUUCCACACUUGCUGCUCAGAUCAAACCUAGCUAUAUUUGACCAAUUAUUAGGAGUAUAUAGGAUGGAGUAUUUCAAAUAAACAUUUCCAUAAAUAAACCUAAUACCACAUACUAUUGUGUUCAUUGUUUAGUCAUAAUAUUUAAUAUUAUGAGGUAGCAUUGGAAAGGGUGGAAAAGCUUAAAAAAGGAUAUCCGGCCCAUUCCACACAAAUAGCGAAAUGUCACAUGUCAUCAUAGAUCUAGCUAAUUGACCUACUCUUUUGUCCAUGGUAGAUAUAUCGAUGCAAGCAAAAAUAUCUGUUACUAUAUUUCAUGCUACAUGCAUGUCUGACCAGUGCACAUUGCAUGGAACCAAAAUUUGGAAGGCGUCAAUCAUGCAUGUCUUUUUUUUAUGGGAAGACGUCAAUCAUCUAACCGACGAAAUAGCAACUGAUUAGUCAGUAGAUAAAUUGACUGCUUCGCAAAAACAAAGCAAAAAAAGAUACAUUCACUGUUGCUAGCUCUAAACCCCAACGUGGUGAGCACGACUGCACGUACGAGUCAUGCAUCACCGCACAGUUCAACAGUUGCACCCAAGCUUCGUCUAAACUCCAAAUUUAACACCCAAAUUAACCACGUUUGAAUUAGCUAGGUUCACAUCAAUCGAUAUAUCAUAUUAGAUGGAUCAUCGAUUUUUCUCCAGCUAUUACAUACGUAGUAUGACUCAGGCAGACAUGGACCGUAACGUGCAUCGAUCAGUGACUACAUCCAAGUUUAAUCUUGCACCAAUCAUAUGUACAUGUACAGAAACCACACAAGCAGGGUCUCCAGUGCAGGUAGGUUCACAUCACUAUGGAUGAGUAAUGAUAUCUACACCAGCUCGCUAGCUAGCUAGGUAGCGCCUGGAGCGAGCGAGCGACCUGGUCAAGUGAUCACUACCUGCAAGAAAGAAGCAAGCAGCAAAACGACCCUCACUGCUUUUUCCCUUAACAACUCUUUGUACCAACCACAGGAACAAUCCCAUCACGGGUUCAUGACAAGUUAGCUAGCCAAGAUCGUUGUACAUAUCGAUCUUCUUCUUGCCACAAUUGCCACCAACAGCAAAUUAAUGAAGCCUAUCAUGCAUGAUCGGUUGCCAUGUAUGCAAGAAACCUUAAUACCAUACCAAACAUGCAAAUGGAUAUGCGCAUUCUUAGUACUGUUGCAUUAAUGGAGCCAGGGGAAACACAAGGAGCAUAAAAUUAUCAUACAUAUAGCUCAUGCAUGCAUGGCCAGUACCGGCGACAGAGUGCAAUAUAUGCAUGAGAUGGGGAAUUAGGUACUUUCAUGUACAAGAACUGCUAGUACACUGACUACUACGAGAGCUAGAUAGCUAGCGAGCUAGAUCCAUCGAAAUGAUACGAGGCCCAGAAAAAACUCAUUCUGUACCAUCUCGCAGCACCGGAUUGAUCGAGGAAGGAAACAAAUCAAGAAGUGAAGGCAAUCAAGGAAAAACAAGAUCGAUUGGGGGAUGUUAAUAAGGCAGCAAGAACC
This 54476-nucleotide long non-coding RNA is filed under the name Triticum aestivum (bread wheat). Its description in RNAcentral is "long non-coding RNA (TAES_LNC025810)". The stretch from base 33057 to 33181 matches the Rfam family "MIR1120/MIR1122 microRNA precursor family". The record is from RNAcentral. Lineage: Eukaryota; Viridiplantae; Streptophyta; Magnoliopsida; Poales; Poaceae.